AAACUUCUACCCUCAUUCAGAACUCUCAGUCUUUUAGCAUUUCAGAAAUGGCUCAUCACCAUGAACCAUCCAUUCUGUUGCCUCUGCUGCUCAUCACUCUGUCCCUAAUGAGUGGCAAAGAAGUUCUCGCAUCUCGUCACCUUCUCGAAACCACAUUGUCUACGGUUCCUGAGCUUCAUAAGGUGGAAUUGCCACCUCUUCCUACACUCCCUACUUUGCCUAAAUUUGAACUGCCACCUCUUCCCAAGGUUGAGAUUCCAUCUCUGCCUCAUGUCCCAACUCUACAAGAGCCCCAGCUGCCGACUUUGCCCAAGCCUGAAUUGCCAACCGUUCCACAUGUCCCAGCUUUGGAGAAGCCUGAACUGCCAGAAUUGCCUAGUCUGCCCCAUCUACCUGACCUGCCUAAGCUCACACUACCUACCAUCCCAACCCUUCCAAAGGACAUACCCUUCCCUUCUCUUUCCCCACCCCACUCAACCACUAGCCCUUGAGCUUUUCCCGUGCUGAGUUUCAUAUCAUCAUCGCAGUCUUAUUAGAUUUUCGGAUGCAGUAGAGAUUGAUAUGGGAAGGAAUCCUUAAAAUCCAGGGUUGCACUCUGGUUCAUAUGUGUGUGGAUUGGUGCUGAUAGUUGUGUGGAGUCUGUUUUCGUUUAUAGUUUUCUGUUGGCAUGUACUGAUUUGUGAUUGUGGUUGAUUUUUGAGGGGGUGUCUGAUGUGUGAAAAUGGGUUCUGUUUGAAGUUACUUGUAUACUCUCAUGGUUAUUAAUUAUUUAUGGUUCCUGUUUUCUCGCAAAUACCUUUUGAAGUGGAAGUAAAAGUACAAACAACAAUCUAGCCGCUGAUUAGAUGUUCAUAAUAUCCAGAACAAUAUUGAGUUAAUGGAGCAGUUUGCAACAGCCCACAGUGUGUUUGGGUAUCCCAUCACCCAAUUGUUGCCAUGAAAGGGUGGCAUAAACCAUUCAAUGAUAAUAAAGCCCUGAUGACUAUCUUGUGAAAAUAAUAGUAUAAUAAUAAUUAAUAAGAAUUAUCACAAUUAUUUCAUUUCAAAACCAGCAGCUUAUUAAUGGGGUGCAGCCACUGCUUAAUUAUCUACCUCAGAACUUGGUAAAAGGUUUGGUGGUGCUAAACUUUUACGCUAUGUUUGGUUCCGAAAAAUUCAAGGGAAAAUGUGAGGGAAAAAAAAUAAAGAAGAAAAAUGGAAGAAAAUAAAAAAGAAAAUAAAAAAUAGAUUUAAAAUCAAUAAAUUAUUUAUAUAUAUUUCUUUCAACUCAUUUCACUUAGUUUCAUCUAUUAUAUAAAAAUUAAAUAAUUUUAAAGUAUACAAAUUUCUAACUAAUUUUAAUUAUAUUUAAUUCUUUAAAAAAAUUUUAUGGUAAAACCAAACAUGAGAAAACAAUUUUCUUUAACAUUUUUUUCAUUUCCUUAAUACUUUCCUGAAACCAAACAAAGCCUUAGAGAAUUAACUUUCAUUUCUCUUUCAAGAAACACACAAAAGCCUAAAAUUAUGCAUCCUGGAGAAGAAUGUGCAUUGGAAUUUGGAACUAUCCGCUGGAAAAUUUUUUUGUUAACGAGAUAUUUUGGGUGAUGUGCAGUUGCUGACAUUGUUAUGGAGGAACAAGAACUUAUCAGUUGAAAUCCUAAUCGGGUUCAUGAUCGUCUGGUUUCUUUUCGAAGUUUUAGAGUACCCUUUUAUUACCCUUCUCUGUGUUACAGCAUGAUCUUCCUGAUGCUUGCAAUUUUCAUUUGGUCUGAUGGGGCAGGAUUCAUAAAUUGGUAAUGUUUUGGUCCUAGGCAUGCCAGAUGACCACAGAUCACCUCUCUAACAUCUAUUCUAAAUCCUAGGCUCCUUUUUCUCUUCUUACAAACAGACUUGACUAGCCACUUUGGUUAUAUCAGGUCAGAAAAUUCAGGGCAUUUUUGGUCCUUAAGCAGAAUCCAGGUAAUCUGUUAGUUAUGUUACUAUGAAAAACAGAACACAUAUCACAACAGAAAUUCAUCCCCAUACCUUGAUUUAGAAAAUUUGCUCAUUCCCUUUAAGGGCGUGUUGCUGAACCUCCAUAUAUAAAUCUUUAGUCCUUACUCAUUGGAGACACCAAAUUCCACAACCUCCAUCCAGUAUCCCCCAGCACAGACAAUGGAAGCACAUUUGCUAGACAUCGAGAAAGAAGGCCAAAUAAAACAAGCAAGAGAAUAAAUAACUUGUGAAAUUUUCAUCUUCAGAAGAUUAAAUAAGCAAGAAAAUCACAUAAGACAUAGAUAAACAUCCAAAAAUGGGUUCUCUAAUGGCUUUUUUUUUCUCUCUCUCUCCUCCAAAAUCAGCCAUCAAUCCUAGUGAUCAAACUCACCACUCCACCAAAGCAAUUGCAGAAACACCUAGCUACAUGAUUCCAGAACAUGGUUCAAAGUCACGGUAUCGGUCACUGACUUGGAGGGUCCCGAGAUGUAUCGGUCUCGGUGUAUUGGCUUGGUAUCAGACGAUAUGUAAAAUAAGCUAAUUAGAAAAUUAAAAAAAAUUAUAAAAAUAUUAUAUAAAUCAUCAGAAAAAUAUAUACAAUUAAAUAACCUCAAAAAAAUUAAUACAAUAAAAUUGUCACACAGUUAACAUUAUUUCAAUAGUUACAAAAGUAUCCACUCAAAGUUAUUUAAGAUAAUGCUAAUAAAAGAAAAUUAUUUUAUUUCAAACAUAAUAACAUUUUUACUAACAAACAUACAAUGCAAUAAUCAAUUUCAUGUUGAAUGAUGAGGGGGUUCAAAAUCAUCAUCAUCAGUCUUACGACGAGUAUACAAAUUGGGAUGGUAAUUCCAAUAGUGAGGAUAUGGUUGAAAGAGUUGUUCAUAACUCGAAUAUCUUAGCUAAGCCGAUUGGCUUGAUGAUCCAUAAUCAAGAAAAUAUGGUUUCGAAGGUUGUUCGGGAUCAACACCAUAUUAAUAGUAUCCAAAACCUUGAUAGGCAAUGCUACUACUACUAGAAGAUUAAUCAUAUCCAUAAGAAUCAUAAGCUCAUGUUCCAGUAUUUGAAUAUCCCUCUGAAUGCAUCAUUGGAAAUCGAUCAAACUCAUUUCUACUAAAAGUACUAGAAGAGCUAUCAUGGUCUUUAAAGUUGUGAUAUGAUCUAUCAUCUACUUCUUUGAAAUACUACCUUGAUCCUAUACUGAUUCGCAGAUGUAAAUCCAGUCGGGUCAUUUAAUAAAAAACAUUUAUAAAACCUAUGACCUCAUACUAGUGUAGCAAAGCUACUAUAGUAUAGUGGCUCUAGGGUCGAACUCUGGGAUGGGUUUUCAUUCUACCAGUGAUAUACUCAUGAUUAGGAAUUGAAUUUAAUGAUUUCCUUUAUAAAAAACUUAGAGUUUAAAAGAAAAUAAAAUUUGUUUUGAAAGUGUUUGAAACUAAAUUAACAUAAACUAAUUAAAAAUGGAAGAAAGAAAGUCUCUCGGAGCUUAGGAUUGCUAGGAUCAAGUUUAGAAUGCAAAGUGGAAAAUUUCGGAUUUUUCUCCUCGCAUUGGGGAUUUAACCUAUAGUUAUUUCCCGAACCGGUAUAGGUUUAACAAUGAAGAUUUAAUCCAUAAAAAUCAAUAGAAAUGGUAGUAAAGGUCCAUUAAUGGCUUUAAACACUAUGGGUCUUCACCUUGAACCACUUUCCAAUGGCUCGUACAUGAUAACUAAUGGACUGAUAUGGAUCUAGCAAUAAGCAUCCACAGAGACCUGAAGCUUACCAUGUAUUGGUCAUUCAAAGUGAUUCUAAGGGAUUUAAAGCAAAACUUUGGAUUUAAAAGCCAUUUAUGAACUUCAACUACCUGUAUUUAAGGCACGAGCGUUUUCCACCUUGCAUCUGGACUUUUCACCUAGCUUCCAUCACUCCAAGAAACUAAAAUUUUAGCCUCUCAUCCUCUGAGAAAACAUCCUCAGAGGUUGUUUGGUUUCCAAGAAAAAGAAAAUAGUAAAGAGAAAAGGGAAAACGAGAGAGCUCUGUAUAUUUUUCUAAGUGUAAAACAUAACACGCGUGAUACCUCCAAGAGGUGAUUUCCACCCUUUAUAUAGUUUUUACAAAAGCAAAGCUUGUGAUUGGCUUGUUACAAGGAGAAGAAAGGAAAUUACAUCAAAAAAUACAAAAGAAAAUAUCUAAAGUGGAGUCGGCAAAAACAGAGGAAAAUUCGCACCACGCAUGGGGUGUGCGAAUUUUCGCACACCUGAGGGGAGUGUGCGAGUUUCGCACACCAUUCGCACACCAUUUGCACAGCUAAGGGGGCGUGCGAAUCUCGCACACCAUUCGCACACUAUUCACACACCUGGAUCAGUUGUCUUCCGAAGGCCAUAUCUUCCUCGUUUCAGCUCCAAAUCGUACACGGUUUGAAGCGUUGGAUUUUUGACUUCCUGAGCUUUGAAAUGGUAUAUAGCAUGUAAAAAAUGGACUUCGGGAAGUGCUCCAAAAGUGCCAAAGAAGACUGCAGCUGCUGUCCUCUGUUUUCCUCCUUGCUUCUCUUUGCUUCUCUUUGGUUUUCUUUGCUUUUCUCCUUUGGAUGGCUUGUCUUAAUGAUCUAAAAAGAUGUCAAAAACACUAAAACUAGCCACAAAUAUGAUUAGGAGUCAUUGCUAGGUCCUUAACAUGCCAAUUGGAAUAAAGAUGAAGAAUUAUUACACAAAAGUGCUUAAAACAUAAUGACUUAAAGGUGUAAAAUAGCACUUUUUGGGUAGUAAUCAUAUACCCAAAUUCUGUAAGUGCUUAUCAAUACAGUGAUAAUUUGAUCUAUGAUAAUCAUGCCCACUAGAGUAAUCAUCAUCGCUGGGAAAUGUAGUUAGUCUUUCCAAAUGCUUUCGUUAUUCCCAUAUCCUUAGUCAAUAUCCAUGAUCUGUAUCUUGUGUGGCAUAAUAAUUUUCAUCUCCUUGUGCCCAUGACAUGCUAGGAUCUACUUGACUAACAUAACUUCCACCAUCACUACCAUCUCCUCCAGUACCCUCACCAAUGCCACUAAGUCCUUUACUGCACCUACUAGUGUCACCACCCCGCCUACUGCCCCCAUUGUUACCAUCAUCACUACUAGAACUUGAAGAAAUUGUUCUAGGAACCUUACCUUUAUGAUGGGAAUCAAUAUCUCUUUCUUGUGUAGCAUUGCUUGUAUGCCUACUAACUCUACGAUUUGUACCUUCUUCAUAAGGAGGAAGACCUUUAUCCAACUAAUCCAAAUUAUCAGAUGAUAAAAUAGGCUCAUUUCUUUAUCGUAUCCACUCAUCUAAUAUAUCAUCAUCAUUAAAGAUAUGAUUCAGAUAAGUUGGAUUGUAUAAAUCUUCAUUGUUUCGCUCUUGCAUCAAAUUCUUAACUCGGAGUCGCAUAUUGUAGUGCACAUAAACUAACUUAUGCAGCUUUUUCAUUGCCAAAUGGUUGCACAACUUUGUGUGAAUCAAUGACUAUGUGCUCCAAUUUCUUUCACAACCUGAUGAAGAACAAGUUUGGCUUAAAAUUUUGACAACAAUCUUUUGUAGAUGUGGGCCUUCGUCGUAAUAGUUGUUCCACCAUUCAGCUAUAAUAAAGAAAAUGCAUACUUAUUAAUCACUAUAAUAUAUUUAACAAAAAAUGAUGAUAAUUUCUUAUUUGUAAUAAACAUAAAUGUAUUGAGUACCUAGAAGAGAUUGAUUUAUUGCUUUCUUUAUAAGUGCACUUCCAAAUUUUCCUUGGUCCUCAACAAAUAAUUUCACCUACAUCAUUAACAUUUUUUUUUUUUGUUUUUUGUUAAGGCACAUUACAUAUACAAAAUGUAUUAUAUAAAGGUCACAAAUUAUUAUUAUACCUCAGUAAUAGUUUUUGCUUGUCUAUCCAAAUCUGACUCUAAUCUCUUGAUAAGUGGAAAGAUGUCCACGUGUAUCGGUAGAAAUGUCACAUAGUGUUAGACAACAUAUGUCUGAUACUUCAAAAGAAAAGGCACAGUUAAAGAAAAAAAAAUGAACAACUUUUGAGUUCCUUAAAUAAAGAAAAUUUCUAUGAAAUUGAUAAGGGUGAUUCUGAUGAUGAAAUUGAGGAAGUUGCUAUGGUUGAUUUUGAAAGAAGACAAAUGAAACAAGCAAUGAAAGAAAGUCGUCCAAUUUUUUAAAAAGGUAGACAAGAGCAUCAGAAGGAUGGUUGUUCCUCACAACUUUCUAAUGCUAGGAUUAAACGCGAAUUGACACGUAGCUUCAGUGUAAGAGAAGGAGCUAGCAUACUUCCAAAAGGAAUUGAUCCCUACAUGUUCCCAUCAAAGCAAAAAUCAAUAAAAAGUUUGUUUUUUUUUACUAAAGAUGUGAAGAAAGUGGGUAAAGCUAUUUCUAAAUUCAUUCUCUUUAAUGUAAUACCCUUUAAUGCAAUUGACAGUGGGCCUUACUAUCAAUCAAUGAUUGAUACCAUAGUAGAAGCAGGUCCAAGCAUCAAGGGUCCCAUCGGAUACCAAAUUGGAAAUACAUAUUUGGAAGAGGAGGUGCAAGAGCUUGAGGUAUAUAUAACAACAUUGAAGGUUAAAUGGUCUAUAUGUGGGUGCACAAUCAUGUGUGAUGGUUGGAGUUCUAGGACUAGAAAGCCUAUCUUCAAUUUCAUGAUUUAUUGUGAUAGAAGUAUGAUACACCAUUCUUCAGUUAACACUACCAACAUACCUAAGACAGCAAACUACAUCUUUUCCCUUAUGGAUAAAGUUGUAGAGGAGGUUGGGGGGGAAAAUGUUGUUCAAGUAGUCACUGAUAAUGAGGCAAGUUUUAAAGCAGCCAAUAUGUUGUUGAUGGAGAAGUGGAAGCAUUUGUUUUGGCCUCCUUGUGCAACCCACUGUAUUGAUUUAAUGCUUAAAGAUAUUGCAAGCAUGAAGCAGAUUAAGGAGACAUUAGAUUAAGCUAAGAUGAUCACAGGAUUUAUUUGUAAUAGCUUGAAAGUAGUGAAUUUGAUGAAAAUGUUCACCAAGGAUAGAUGUUAAAGCCAGGAAUAACCCGUUUUGCCACUGAAUUCAUUUCACUUGAGAGUUUUAUACGUUAUGAGGCUGAUUUAAAGAGAAUGUGCACAACAAAUGAGUAGUGUGAAUUCAAUAAAGAUAGGAGUAGAAAAAGUCUAAGAGAUAAGGUAACCAACCUUGUCUUAACUUAUCUAUUUUGGAAGAAAACAGGGGAAGUUCAAACUAUCAUGGAACCUCUCAUCAAAGUAUUGAAAUUGGUUGAUCAAGAUAAAAAGCCCACACUAUCAAUCAUUUAUGAAGCAAUGGAUAGAGCUAAAUUGGCUAUCAAGGAAUCGGUUAAGCAAUGAGAAAAGUAUUAGGAAGUCAUUGAUAGAAGGUGGGAAGGUCAAUUGCACAGACAUUUGCAUGCUGCAGGUAAUAAAAAGAUUCUUUAUAUAUUUUUUUAUUAUUUUUUUCAAGUACAAAUUAUUAUAAAUUGAUUAUUAUUUAACUUAUAGCAACAUAAUUUUUAAAUCCAAUGUUCUAAUAUUCAAAACAUUUCUCCAACCAUCCAAAAAUUAAAGUUGGAUUAAAGGAGGUUAUCAAGAUAUUAAAGCCAUAUUUGGAUAGACAAAAAAAACUAUUAACGAGGUAUAAUAAUAGUUUGUGACCUUUAUAUAAUACAUUUUGUAUAUGUAAUGUGCAUUAACAAAGAAAAAUGUGAAUGAUGUAGGUGAAAUUAUUUGUUGACGACCGAGGAGAAUUUGGAAGUGCACUUACAAAGAAAACAAUAAAUCAAUAUCUUCUAGGUAAUCAAUACAUUUACAUAUAUUAAAAAUAAGAAAUUAUCAUCAUUUUUUGUUAAAUAUAUCAUAGUGAUUAAUAAGUAUGCAUUUUCUUUAUUAUAGAUGAAUGAUGGAACAACUAUGACGAAGAAGGUCCACAUCUACAAAAGAUUGUUGUUAAAAUUAAAGCCAAACUUGUUCUUCACUAGGUUGUGAAAGAAAUUGGAGCCAUGAUUACUACCAAAAAGUACUAUUUUGUAGACCUAAUUAUAAUGGUUUUAAGCACCUUUGAGUAGUAAUCAUAUUCAUUUAACCCAAUUAAUUCAUUAAGGUCCUUAGUAAUUGGUUUUAACCAUUUUGUGGCAAGUUUACAUGUUUUUAUCAGCUUAUGAAUCAAUUCAAGCAUGCCAAAUGAUGGAGGAGCUACUUGGACAAGUUAUGGCAAAGCUUUUGGAAGCUCAAAUUCAUGAAGAACCAAGCUUUGGAGCUCCAUAGCCCUUUGCCAAAGUCGUUCAAAGUAUGCAAGGAAAGAACAAUGGAGAAGAGGAAAACAGAGGACAGCAGCUGCAGUCUUCUUUCGCACUUUCCGAAGUCCAUUUUUUACAUGCUACAUACCAUUUCAAAUCCCUGGAAGUCAAGAAUCCAACGAUUCAAACCGUGUAUGAUUUGGAGCUGAAAUGAGGAAGAUAUGGCCUUCGGAAGCCAACUGCUCCAGGCUUGUGCGAAAUUUUCGCACGACACAAGGUGUUGUGCGAAAUUCGCACAACACCUUCAAAAUUCGCACAGCCCAUGCGUGGUGCGAAUUUUCCUCUGUUUUUGCCGACUCCACUUUAGAUAUUUUUUUAUGUAUUGUUUGAUGUAAUUUCCUUUCUUAUCCUUGUAACUAACCAAUCACAAGCUUUUGCUUUUGUAAAGACUAUAUAAGGGGUGGAAAUCACCUCUUGGAAGAGAGAACAUGCGUGUUGCAUUUUACACUUAGGAUAUACAGAGCUCUCUCGUCUCUCUUUUCUCUUUACUAUUUUAUUUUCUUGGAAGCCAAACAGCCUCUGAGGGCUUUUCCUCAGAGGAUGAUUGGCUAAAACUUUUAGUUCCUCAAAGUAUGGAUGUUAUGUGAUGGCUUGGAUGCAAUCCCAUGGAAAUUUCUCACACCUGAAGGUAAGGUAGUUGUUUUUCAUUAAAGGUUCAUUAAGGCAAAGUUUGGUUUUUAUUUCCUUUGGACAACUUCCAACGGCCAAUACUUGAUAAGCUUUUGGAUUUCUAUCCAUUAGUUAUCUCCUACGAGCUAUUGGAAGGUGAGGUUUUCAAUUCCAAGUUUUGCAUUAAUCCGUUAGAACCAAUUUCAAUGGCCAUUGAAAGGUGAGUUUAUCACCUGGAAUGACUUUGAGUUGCCAAUAUUUGGUAAGCUUUUGGCUUUAGACCAUUAGUUAUCUCUUACGAGCCAUUCAAAGGAAGUCUAAGGUGAAUAACCAUUGAUGAAAUUCACUACCAUCUGUUUUGCCAUUUUAAAGGAUUAAAACUUGAUUUGCUAAAUCCAUACCGGUUCGGGAAGCAAGCAUCACCAUAGUUGCAACCCCAACGCGAGGAGCCUAUCCUGAGAUUUCCAAUUUGCAUAAGAGCUAGAGCAUAGCUAUCCUAUCUUUGAGAAACUUGUUUUUACACCCUUUCAUUUUAGUCUUUAAUGUUAGCUUAGAUUAGUUAAAUCUUUCUAAAACAUUUACAUCUUCUUUUAAAGCUAACAUCCAUAAGAAAAUCACCUAUUUUCCUAAUUUGAAUAUCACUUGUGUUUGCGAAAACCCUUCCUAGUGAACGAUCCUAGAACCACUAUGCUAUUAGCUUGGCUACUUUAGUAAUAGUACCUAAGGUAUAAAUUUUGUUGAUACGCCUUUAAAGCUAAGCUACCAUGAGUCGCAUCAAGCCACAUGGUCAUUGAUUCACACAAAGUUGCACAACCAUUUGGCAAUGAAAAAGUUGCAUAAGUUAGUUUAUGUGCACUACAAUAUGCGACUUUGAGUUAAGAAUUUGAUGCAAGAGCGAAACAAUGAAGAUUUAUACAAUCCAAUUUAUCUGAAUCAUAUCUUUAAUGAUGAUGAUUGAUUCGUGCCCAGCUGGUGUAUGCCCUGUUGAUUGGUGUUCAAUCAACUGGUGUACUCUGAUUUUGGUCCGCAGACAAGAGUAAUCAACAAAAUUUAUAAACCUAUUUCACCAUAUACUAGGGUAGCAUUAGCUAGCAUAGCAUAGUGGCUCUAAGAUCGUCCACAGGGAUGGAUUUUCAAAUUACAACUGAUAUUAGUUCAAAAACUAAAUUGGUGAUUUUUCUUUUUAAGGUUAGCUUUAAAAGAAAACAUAAAUAUGUUUGAAAAGGUUGGUUUUUGGUAAAACCAAAAAUAAAGUAACUGAAAUUACUUACAAAGAAAAGUGCUUCUUGGAGUUUUAGAUCACCAGGCUCAGGUUCGUCAUACAAAAAAGGAGAUUUCGGUCACUUGAAUCUUUUCCUCGCAUUGGGGAUUUAAUAUAUAGUUAUUUCUCGAACCGGUGUGGUACAGAUGCUUUCCCUUUAUGGUUUCAAACACUAAAUCCUUGUCACUGAAUAAUCUUACAAUGGUUCAUACCUCUCACCUAGUAUUGGCCAUUUAGGGUGAUCCUUAACCUUGGAUUACCCGUUAAAAGCUCGCAAGAGAUAACUAAUGGAUGUUUCCUGGGAGUCCAAAAGCUUACCAAGUGUUGACUAUUCUAGAUAAUCUUACCUUUAAACCACCUCCCAAAGGCUUGCAAGAGAUAAACUAGUGUAUCUCAAUGGAUGGAGAUCACUUGCCUUACUAAGUGUUAGCCCAGGUGAUUUUAAGGAAUUUUAAGUUAAUUAAAAGAUAAAAACCAUUAACGGGUCACACUUUCUCUUCAUUAAAAACUGAAACAACAAAACUUCCACUUUUGUAUCCGGAACCUUACCCAGUUUUCUUCACUCCAAGAAACAAAAAGCCUAGCCACUCAUCCUCUAGGAAAACAUUCUCAGAGUUUGAUUUGCUAGAAAUAAAAAUAACUAGAAAAAAAAAAUGAGAAGGUAAGGCAGAGCAAAGCUCUGUGUAUUACUUUCUUGAAAAACUAUACAAAGUGUCGUCCCUAAGAAAAACUCCCGAGUGAUCUUCUAAAAGAAAAUUACGAUAAAUAUUAUAUAGAGAGGUUAUUCACCCCUCCUGCUAACUUCCCAACCAAGAAAACUUGUCAUUGGUGGGUUACAAGAAGAAAAUAGGGAUUUACACACAAAUAUCUGAAGAUAAAUAUCAAACAGAGUCGAUGCGCAAAUAUCUCAAAUUACAGGUGGAUUUCGCAAAUUGAAAUUAUCCAUUUCGCAAGUUGUGAAAUUGUCCUACAACUUAUUAACUCUUUGUCCUAUAACUAUUCAUUUCCCCUUUCUACUUUGCAAGUUGCGAAAAUUUUGCAAGUUGGAUUCCACAACUUGCGAAAUUGCUGGAUGGUUGAUUUCUUCUGUGCUUUUCUUCCUUGCAUCCUUGUUUGGCUUUGGCAAAGGGUUAUGAAGCUCCAAAGCUUAGUUUCUUCAUGAAUUUGAGAUUCAACUUGCUUUGCCAUGAAAUAUACAAAGAUCUCCCUCAUUCUUGGAUUGCUUUGGUGAUAAAAAAGCUAUCAAAAACACUAAAACUUAACACAAUUUGAUUAGAAACGAUUGCAAAGGUCCUUAACAUGCCAAUUGAGUUAAAAGACAAUAACUACUACUGAAAAGUGUUUAAAAGAGUUAAUUACAAGCUAUAAAAUAACACUUUUUAAGUAGUAAUCACUUCCCCCAACCGACAUAUUGCUAGUUCCUUAGCAAUGAGGGAGAGAAAAAUAAAAAUAAACAGUACUAUAAUUUACAACAUCAUGCUAAUCACUCCAAAAAAUUUCAAGUGGCAUGAUGAUCAAACUCUCUCAUGAGACAUUAAAGACAUAAAACUCAAACCUCAACAAGAGUUAUCAAAUAACUUGCCUAAUCACAAUUCAUAAAGAGAAGGCAUUAUGCAAAUUUAAGCUUUAAAAGAAUUUCCACUCCCAAAUGGUCAAUCCUUACUCUUCCAUAAAAAUCUAAGUGUUACUUAUUAGUUUUCGAAUAUAAUAUGCUGAACUAAUCUCUCCUCCCCAACCUAGUUUUUUGUCAAAUCUUAGAAAACUGAUCAACCUCCAAUAGGCUAAGAAUGCACCUCAUUUAUUUCACACUUUUUUUUUUCUUGUAGGAGUACAAAGCUUAAAGGUAUUCUUUUCUAAAUUAUCCAUGUAACGGGGGUCCAUCGAUGACUCCUAACCAAUUAAGGUUUAGGGCAUCAAGCUUCAAGGAUCUUUCGACCACUAACUCCUCGGAUUUUACCUCAGAGUUUUGAGAUUGGAAUUCAAUACCCAAGCACCUACAGUAUGUUAAACUCCACCUAUUAACCCUUAUAACGAGCAUUCAGGUCGGUGACUCCCAACCAAUGAAGGCUUAGGGCACCAGGUUUUAAAGACUUUCACCAUAUACCCCUCAGACCUUGCUCGGGUUUCAAGGCAAAUAAAACAUUUUUCAAAGGCUCAUUGGCCUUUUCUAAGGUGUCCCAACACUAUUAAAACGAGGUCAAAGAUACCAAGUCUAAAAUUUCCUAAGUCAAGGGGUGAAAUAGUUUUUCAUCUUAUACUCGGAAUCUAGUGUGCACAAUGUGUGGUAAGCUUAAAGUGGACGAAAUAAGGUUGAAUUCAAUAGAAAUUUCAACAAUUCAUCAACUUUAAUAAGCAUAAUACAAACUCUAAGUAAAUUCAAUUUCUCCCAUUUCAUUUUGAGAUUUUUUCCUUGAUAACCAUGAAGAGUAUUCAAUUUUUUUUUUUAAAUUUACACAAAAAGUAACUAAAUUACCAUUUAUAACCUAUCAUUAUAAACAAUAUUUCCUUCCUCAACUUCUCCCUCCAACCAUGCUGAACAUUGCCCUCAAUGUUUGAAGAGCAAUUGAAAAUAAAGGGAGGAAGUGGUAUCUCCUGAGUGGAAUAGAGUUUGAAUUGUAUAGGAGGAACCACAUGAUUCAAAAAACAACAAAAAAAUGAGUAGAGGAAAUAAAUAAAAAUAUGUCAAGUACACUAAAAAAUGAAGGAUAUGUAUUACUUUAAGGAAGUACAAUAUGAAAUAUGCACAAUUAAUACAUCCAAUCCCAAUAUAUAAAACAUAAAAAACAUGGGAUUAAGAGUUCUACUAUAAUAAGUAAAUACAAAAAGUAGAUAGAUGAUCAGGUAGUGGUGGGAGGGUCAUGUAGAGACAAUGGCUCUGCUGUGGUAGUUUGAGUGCUCUAGAUCGGAGUCUCGACCUUUGCUGUAGUAGUCUUCUCAUGAGGCAUCGUCUGCUCUGCUGUAGUAGCCUCCUGAGAUGGAAUAGCUUGCUCAACUAGAGUAGCCUCCUCAAAUGGAGUUGUAGGCUCUGAUGGACCAGGCAUAUUAUGCUCAGGUGGUGGUGAAAUACCCAAAUGCUAUUGUAUUUGCCUCAGGAUGGCAGUAUCCUGGGUCUACGUGGCAAUAAGCUGAUCCUGAUGUGCAUGUAUGACUACUUUUCGCUGGGCGAGAAUACUUUGAGUGGUACUCAAUGUCUACAAUGUAUGACAUAGGCCUCUAAACUCUGAACAGGAUAUGGUGAUAGAGGACUCAGAUGGAGGAGGUGUUGAUGUAGCUAGUAUAACUGGUGGAGCUUCAGGCGUGGUAGGAGGAGCAGAAGAUGUAGCCUCAGGCAUGGGCACUGUAGAAGGUGCUGCAGAGGUAGGUGGUAUGAUCUCUAUAGGUAUCUCGGCCUGCUGUGCCUGUAGUGGCAUCUCAUCCUGUGGUAACUCUGGAGGUACUGGCAUAUCUGGGGCUCUUAGAGGUGCAACAUAGGCUGUCAGAUGAUUCCAUUUGUCGAAAGUGAAUAACUCUCGGCAAAUGUGGCAACGCUCAAGUUGAGGCUCAGAAGAAUAGCCUAAAUGCUCUAAUAUCUGAUAGAGCAACCUGGGAAAAAGUAAUGGAAUGGCAUCUGCUCUCUAGAGCUUUUUCCUAUGGACCUUCUCUUCAAAGUAAAGAAGAGAGGUCAUAACCAAAUGAUGAAGGCCAAAGUAAAAACCCUCUGAUAUCCGGAAUAACGCUUCCAAUAUAGCUCCUCUCCUCUACACCAUAUGCUAAAGUGGAAAUAUGUUGGAACACACACCACAUCUAAAAGAAGCAUCCUAGGUGGAAGCUCCUUCCUAAGAAGAAAUGAACGUGUAGAGGUCCUCUUGGACAAUAUACGGACCAUGUCUCUCUGAGAGAAACGGGACCACUCUCUAAAAUAUGCUGGACUCAAAGGCUCAUAUGGAAUGUGCAGGGCCUCUACAAUGUGUCUGGCUCUAAGGAUACCAUGGCAUCCAUCAAUGGUGAAGUGGAUGACAGUAGAAUCCUGGACGCGAUGAGUAGUCAUAGACUGAUAAAAGUCUAGUGCUACUGUGGGAUAGAAGAAGUCCCUAGGAGUCAUCAGGUGCUCCAAAUGGUAUCUCUGCAGUAGGUGGAAUGAAUCUCUAAGCUCCAACUGUUAUCUAAAAGUCUUCAUAUCAAAACAUAGCUCGGAGUGGAAUGACAUAGCUCGAUAAUCCAAAUUUCCCUUUAUAGGUGGCUGUGUAACCAUAGGUUGCCUGAUAAUCACUUUUGGAGUCAUCCUAGAAGGAAUCUGAGACUCUGUAGUAGGCGGUUGAGGCUAUGGAGGUGUAGAUGACUCUCUUGAGCCUGAACUCUUGCUUUUUUUGCAAGAGGGCGACGAAAUGAUUUCUUGGGGUGCGAAGUGCUUACCCCAGGUGUAGUGGGUGGUCUUCUCAUCUCAUACCUGUGCUGAGGAUGGCUAGAUGGCACUUCACCCUUAGAAUGUGGAAUGGCAGAGGCCUAUGGAGCCUCAAACAUGGAAUCCUACGCAGGUGGAGCUCUUGGCCUUGGAUUGCGGGCUGAUGGAGACGCGGCUUGGGCUCCUCUUGUCUUGGCCAUGGCUGAAAUGGAGAGGCUCGUGUUCCACAGGGUACGCGGAGGUGCGUGAAGUGCUUCUUCUUCAGAUACAAGACCUCUAGGCUUCCUAUGGAAGGGAUGCUUUGAAAUUUUGGGGCUUCACAACUUAUAGUGUUUUUUCGUAACUUGGAGGGGCUGUGCAAAAUGAAAAAAUGAGCAAACCAGAGGUUUAAAUAGGAAUUUAAACGACGGUUGUCAUUUUUGCAAGUUGGCCUGAAUUCGCAAGUUGCCCUAUUUCGCAACUUGAUUCACAAGUUGAUUCGCAGGCUACGAAAAUGGAUUUUUAACUUGCGAAAUGGCACAUGUGUGCCUGGAGGUGCUUUUGCAGGCUACAAAAAUUUUCGCAAGUUGAAUAGUGGACUUAUGAAAUUGAGCUUUGAGGAUUUCGCAAGUUGAACCCUAUUUUCGCAAGUUUGAAUAUUGCUAUGUUUUUCAGGCUUUUUCUCCCCAUUGGUUCUUUAAGGCUUUCCUCCAAUUCCUUUGAAGUUCCUCCUAAUUUUGAUUAUCCAAAAAUUCUAAGUUAGAUUAAAAUAAAAUAAAUUAAAGCUAGAAUUAAAAUUAAAACAAAUAAUAAAGCUUUUAAAUCAACAAAAUUGAAACAAAAAACAUGGACUUUGGUUAGUCUUCAAAAAAACUAAGUCCAUCUACUCCUUUUUGGUUAAGAUUGUUGUGGCUCAAUGAGACUGACUUCCUCCUUGUCUUGAUUGAAAGGCUCCAUGAAUGGCUUGAGACAGUGGCCAUUGACUUUGAAAGUGUCUAUGCUGUUGGAAUUGAGUAGUUCCACUACUCCAUUGGAAUGCACUUGGUGAAUAAUGAAAGGGCCUAUCCACCUUGAUUUUAGUUUUCCUGGAAAGAUGUGGAGCCUAGAGUCAUAGAGUAAGACUCUUUGUCCAUUUUGAAAUUCUUUGUUGGAGUAACUGAUCAUGCCACAUCUUCAUCCUCUGUUUUGCAAUUUUGGAAUUGAUGUAGACAUCAUUUCUCAAUUCCUCUAUCUCAUUAAGGUCUAAGCACCUCUUCAUCCCGGUUCUGUUCAAAUCCAUGUUUACUUUUUUAAUUGCCCACCAAGCCUUGUAUUCAACUUCCACAGGGAGAUGACAUGCUUUGCCAUAGACUAGGCGAUAAGGAGACAUGCCAAGAAUAGUCUUGUAAGCUGUUUUGUAUGUCCAUAGUGAAUCAUAGAGCUUAACAGACCAAUCUCUUCUACUCGUGUUCACCACCUUCAUCAAUAUAUUCUUGAUUUCCCUGUUUUCUAACUCAACUUGCCUAGAAGUCUAAGGGUGGUAAGGUGUAGCUACCUUGUGCUUCACCCCAUACUUGGCUAAGAGAGUUUAAAAAGGCUUGUUGCAAAUAUGAGUACCUCCAUCACUGAUUAUGACCUUGGGCACCCCAAAUCUUGAGAAGAUGUUCUCUUUGAGAAACUUGAGAACAACUCUAUGGUCAUUGUGUUUAUAUGGGAUUGCCUUAACCCAUUUAGAAACAUAGUCUACCCCCACCAAAAUGUAAGAGUUACCAAAAGACAUAGGGAAAGGUCCCAUGAAGUCAAUGCCCUAAACUUCGAAGAGAUCAACUAUUAAAAUGGGGUUCAUAGGCAUUUGGUUCCUACAUGUUAGUUUCCCAAGCCUUUGGCAUCUAUCACAGCUCCUGCACAUGGCAUGAGCAUCUUUGAAAAGUGAUGGCCAAUUGAAACCUGAUUGUAGCAUCUUCCUGGCUGUUUUCUAAGAGGCAAAGUGGCCUCCACAUGUGCUUUCGUGGCAAUGACUGAGGAUCCCCUGUUGCUCUUGUUCAGGGACACACUUCCUUAUUAUUUGAUCUGCACAAUACUUGAAAAGAAAAGGUUCUUCCCAAUAGUAGGCAUGAAUUUUUGUAAAGAAGUGCUUCCUAUCUUGUGCUUUCCACUCACUUGGAACUUCACCAGUAACUAGAUAGUUGGAAAUAUGAGCAUACCAAGAAGCAUCUUCUAACAACAUAAGUGACUCCUCAGAAAAAUCAUCAUUAAUAGGUAAACCAUGGGAAUUGUGCGAUAUAGCCAACCUUGAAAGGUGGUCAGCUACCACAUUUUCCACUCAUUUCUUGUCUUUGAUUUAGAGAUUGAACUCUUGUAGUAAGAUAAUCCAUCUAAUCAGCCUUGAUUUUUCAUCUUGCUUUGUCAAUAAGUACUUCAAAGCUGAGUGGUUAGUGAAAACCACAAUGAAAUACCCUACCAGAUAAGCACAAAAUUUGUCAAAGGCAAAAACUACAUCCAACAAUUCUUUCUCUGUGGUUGUGUAGUUUCUUUGCGUUUCAUUCAAUGUUUUUCUUGCAUAGUAGAUCACAUAGGGUUUUCCAUCCUCUCUUUGACCAAGAACAGCUCCUAUAGCAAAGUCACUAGCAUCACACAUCACUUCAAAAGGUAGUUGCCAGUUAGGAGCCCUCACUAUUGGAGCGGUUGUCAAGAACUACUUUAGUUACUCAAAACUUUUUUGACAUCUCUCAUCCCAUACAAAUUUAGCAUCCUUCACCAAUAGUUCACAAAGAGGCUUUGAAAGUUUAGAGAAAUCUUUAAUAAACCUCCUGUAGAACCCAACAUGGCCAAGGAAUUGCCUUACUCCUUUUACAGUUGUUGGGGAUUGCAAUUUGACAAUAAGUUCCACCUUUGCUUUAUCAACUUCAAUGCCUUUCUUGGAGAUGAUGUGGCCAAGGACAAUUCCUUGCUGUACCAUAAAAUGGCAUUUCUCCCAGUUAAGCACUAAGUCAUUUUCAAUGCAUUGGUUCAGAACAGCUUCCAAGUUGACUAAACAUUCCUCAAAUGUGUUUCCAUAUAUGGUGAUAUCAUCCAUAAAAACUUCCACAAUACGCUCCACCAUAUCACUGAAAAUGCUUAACAUACAUUGUUGGAAUGUUGCAGGUUCAUUGCAUAAACCAAAAGGCAUUCUUUUGUAGGCAUAUGUUCCAAAUGGACAUGUGAAAGUGGUAUUCUCCUGGUCUUCAACAUCAAUUUCUAUUUGAAAAUACCCGGAGUAGCUGUCCAAGAAACAAUAGAAAGGAUGGCCUAAGACUCUCUCCAACACUUGAUCAAUAAAUGGCAAUGGAAAAUGAUCAUUCCUUGUCACAACAUUCAAUUUUCUAUAAUCAAUACAUACCUUCCAACCUGAAGUGAGGCGUGUAGCAACUUCUUCUUCUUUAUCAUUUUGCACCACUGUGAUCCCUGAUUUCUUUGGCACUACUUAAGUAGGACUCACCCAUGGGCUAUCUAAUAUGGGGUAGAUAAUACUGGCCUGAAGUAGCUUAAGAACCUCGGCUCGCACCACCUCUUGCAUAUGAGGAUUCAAUCUUCUUUGAGGUUGAUGAAUUGGCUUAGCUUUUUCUUCCAUGUAUAUAUGAUGUGUACAGACUAAAGGGCUGAUACCUUUCAAGUCAGAUAUUUGCCAUCCUAUUGUUUUCUUACAUCUCCUAAGAACUUCAAGUAAACACUCCUCCUGAUGAGUGGUAAGAGAUGAAGAUAUAACAACAGGGCACUUUUUAUUCUCCUCUAGGUAUGCAUACUUCAACUCCGUGGGUAGUGGCUUCAGAUUAAGCUUUGGGGCCUCCUUUUUAACAGCUUCUUGUGUCUCCUCCUCAUUGAACAAAGGUAGAAUUUCUUCUAUCCUCCUCCAAUCUGGUAGAGUAACAAGAAAAUUUGAGGGUUCAGUCAACCCUUCAUCAAGAUCCCCGAGACUUUUAUUCAACUUCUCUUGUAUUUUCUGAUUACAAUGCUCCUCUACUAAAGUGUCAAUGAUGCACACCUCUUCUGGAAUUUCUUCUUCUUCCGGAUUGAUUGGCUUAUUGGACAUAUAGAAGAUAUUGAGCUCCAAUGUCAUGUUGCCAAAUGUGAGUUGCAUGAGUCCAUUUCUACAAUUAAUGAUUGCAUUUGAUGUAGCUAGGAAUGGUCUUCCAAGUAUGAUAGGAACAUAAUUAGUUUCCUUGACAAUUGGGUCUGUAUCAAGAACAACAAAAUCCACUAGAUAGUAGAAAUUGUCAACUUGAACUAAGACAUCUUCAAUAAUCCCCCUUGGAAUCUUCACUGAUCUAUCUGCUAGAGAUAGAGUGAUUGAUGUUGGUUUCAAUUCACCAAGUCCCAAUUGCUUGUAGACAGAGUAUGGUAACAAAUUCACACUUGCCCCCAAGUCCAACAAAGCUUUUUCCACAAAAGUCCCUCCAAUCAUCACUGAGAUGGUAGGGCAGCCUGGAUCUUUGUACUUCACUGGAGACUUGCACUGUAUAAUGACACUUACUUGCUCAGUCAAGAAGGCUUUCUUAUUCACAUUCAACCCUCUUUUGAUAGUGCACAAGUCCUUCAGGAAUUUUGCAUAAGUCGGCACUUGUCUGAUCAUGUCUAGCAAUAGGAUGUUGACCUUCACUUGCCUCAAUACUUCAAGAAUUUCUUAUGCAUUGCUGAUUCCCUUUUUUCCUUGCAAAGCUUGAGGAAAAGGUGGAGGCAUGUGUUUCUUCAUCACAUCUCCAUUGAUAACUAUCUUCUCCAAAUCUUCAUUAACUGUUGAAUCAUGGUUCCCUUUCCUUCCACUACUCCCUUUCUUCUUUCCUUUGAUUUCUUCUCUCUUCUCUGUCUCUUUUUCACUCUCUGUUUCAUCAUGUGGCUUGGGUGUUGGCAGCUCAACCUCUUUACCACUCCUUAGAGUGAUCAUGGCUUUGACGUCCCUCACCUAUGAAGAUUCUCCCUCAUGAGCCUCCAUUUCAUGGAUACCCUUGGGGUUUUGGUGAGGUUGAGAAGGAAACCUUCCCUUCUCUUGCACUGUGUUAAGGUUGGUGAGCCUUGAGAUUGAGUACUGGAGAUUAUCUAUCUUUUGAGAUAGAUCUUUUUGCAUUCCAUCCAUCAUUUUAUUCAAUGUAUUCUUUACACUGUCGAUUUUUUGACUAAGUUGAGCAUUAAUGGAUUUCUGGUCUCCAACAAAAUCUCCCACGACCUUGCCUAGAUUCAUUAUUACUUGCUUAAGAUUUGAAGCUUGUUGAGAUGCUUAGCUUGGUUGUGUGUACUGAAGUGCUCUUGGUUUCUAGGAGAAAUUUGGAUGGUUCCUCCAAUUUGAAUUGUAGGUAUUUCCAUAUGAAGCAUUGUUAUUGGGCUUGAAUUGUUCAAUAACAUUUGCUUGAUUUCCAAACAUUUCUCUAACAAUUGGAAUUGUAGGACACUCCUCCACCAAGUGCUCAUAAGAAUGACAAAUGGAACAAAGCAUAACUUGCACUGGUGUUUCAGAAACGGCUUGCACUUCACAUAUAUUUUUCAGUUCUAGCUUCUCCAAUCUUCUUGUCAUAGCUACAACUUUUUCUUUCAUAUCAAUAUCUUCGUUCAAGGUAUACAUCCUAGCCUUAGCAUUAAGAGCAUUUGGUUGAGACUUCAUUCUUCCCACUUCUCCCCUGUUCGGUGAUUACUACUCAAAAAAGUGUUAUUUGAUAGCUUAUAAUUAAUCCUUUUAAACACUUUUGAGUAGUAGUUUUGCCCUUUUAACUCAAUUGGCAUGUUAAGGACCCUUGAAAGCAAUUUUAAUCACUUUGUGUAAGUUUUGGUGUUUUUUUUAGUAAUUUGAUCACCAAAGCAAUUCAAGAUUGAGGAGAGUUUUGAGGAAUCUUGGGCAAAGCUUAAAAUUCAUUUGCCAAGAGUAAAUCCGGAUUGCAAGGAGAAAAAGUAAAGAGAAUCUGACAUGAAGCAUAUUCUUGAUGACAGUCAUAGUAGCCACUUUUGGAGCACUUUCUGAAGUCCAAUUGAUGCAUGCUAUAUACCAUUUGAAAUCUCAGGAAGUCAACAAUCCACUGCUUCAAACGGUGUGCAAUUCGGAGUUGAAACGAAGAAGUUACAGCCAUUGUAAGCCAAUCACUCCAAGCUGAAGGAAGCAUUUUGCAAAGUGCUGCGAAAUCACCCUUUUGUUGCGAAGUGAUUCCGCAGCCUUUUUGUACAGUAUGGUGUAUUUCCUUCUGAAGUUGCCCGACAUAUACCGCGAGAGGGAAGCUGGGAACCUCAAGGUGGAAGCCAACUUCGCAGCCCUGAGAAGAUAGCAUGUUGUUGCGAAAUGAUUUUGCAGCCCUCUUGAGUGUCUGCGAAAUCUCGCAGACACCAUUUUCUCUUGCGAAAUGGUUCCUGGAGCCUCCCGAUAUUUGCUACUGACAUUGGGAGAUAUUUUACAUCAGAUUUUUGUUGUCUAAAUCCCAAAAUACUCCUUGUAAGCCACCAAUUACAAGAUUCCUUAGCUUUUAAGUUAGUAAAAAAGAGAAAAUAUCAAUGUAAUAAUUAGUUUUAUAUUAUGUUCAUAUAUAUACCUCUCGGGAGCCUGUUCUCAGAGAGGAGAUCCUUUUGUAAAGUUUUGGGUAAGCAAGUAAAGUUCAGUUCUUUCUACUGCCUUACCUUCUCACUUUGUAUUUUUUAUUUAUUACUAAGUUAUGAACUCUCUGAGGAGUUUUCCCCAGAAAAUGAGUAACUAAACCUCUAAUUCCUUGGAGCUAAGGUUGCCGGGGAAGGUUCCAAGUGCAAGAAUGAAAAGCUUUGUGGUUUUAGUAAGUAAUGAAGAGGAAGUGAAAUCCUUUAGUGAUUUCUAUGUUUUUAGUUAACUUAAAACACCUUAGAGUCACCUGGGCCAACACUUGGUAAGGCAAGUGAUUUCCAACCAUGGAGAUGCACUAGUUUACCCCUUGCGAGCCUCUGGGAGGUGACUUCAAGGUAGGAUUUUCUAGAAUUGCCAACACUUGGUAAGCUUUUGGACUCCAAGGAGACAUCCAUUAGUUAUCUCUUACGAGCUUGAGAAGGGAAGUCCAAGGUUAAAGAUCACCGUGAAUGGUUAAGGCUUAGUGAGAGGCUUAAACCAUUGCAAGUUGCAUCAGUGAGAGAAUUAAAGUGAAAUCUAAUUGAAGGAUGUAUCUGUACAACACCGGUUAGAGAAUUGACUAUAUGUUGAAUCUCUAACGCGAGGAAAUGAACCAUCUGACCGGAGCUAUGUCUUUUGCAUGAGGAACCACCCCAGUGAACUUGACUCUCCAAGGAAUGUUUUUCUUCCUAAGUUAUUCCUAUUACUUGUUGUGUUAGUUAGUUUAAGUCUAAACCUUUACCAAUCAAAGUUUGUGUUUUAUUUCUUAAGCUAACCUUGAAAUGAAACAAGACCAAUUCACUUGGAAUUGGCAUCAUUGAUAGCUUGUUAAUCCUUCCCAGUGAACUAUCCUAGAGCCGCUAUACUAUAGUAGCUUUUUCUUUGCUAUCAUAGUGUAUGGUGUUAUAGGUUAUAAAUUUUGUUGAUUACUCCCUCAUUCAAGGAGCACCAGCUGGACACGAAUCAGCUGAUACACCAAUUAGGCAUGAAUCAUUUGGUUCAUCCCAUCCUCUUGAAACUUCAGCAACAUAAUUCAAGAAAUCCAUGGCUUCCUCCGGAUUCUUACUCAUGAAAUCCCCUCCAUACAUAGUCUCUCAGAGUUGCUUCAUUGAGGAAGACAUACCAUCAUAAAAGUAGCUCACCAAUAGCCAUGUAUCAAAGCCAUGGUAAGGACAAGCAUUGAUAGCUUCCAUGUAUCUCUCCCAACACUCAUAGAAUUUUUCAUUCUCUUUAGCUGAGAAGUUUGAAAUUUGCCUUUUUAAGCCAUUGGUCCUAUGAGUAGGGAAAAUUUUCUUGAGAAAUUCAGCUUGCAAAUCAGUCCAAGUUCGGAUACUCCUUGGCCUUAAAGAAUUAAGCCAAAUCUUGGCCUUAUCCUUCAGAGUGAAAGGAAAUAGCUUUAGCCUCAUCAAGUCGAUUGAAGUUCCUCCCUCUUGGAAUGUAUUACAAACAUCUUCAAAUUCUUCGAUAUACGCGUAGGGAUUCUCACUUUCCAUCCCAUCGAAAGUAGGUAGAAGUGGCACAAUAUGCAGUCUGAUUACUAGUUGCUCUGUAUGAGGCACUAUGCAUGAUGGUGCACUCAUACGAGGUGGAUGCAUGCGGUCCCCCAUUGAUCUGAAUGCAUUGGGAUUGUCCUAGUGACCAUGGUAACUAUGCUGAUCUUUAGGUGUAGUUUCUAUGAUGUUCAAGCACAAUUCCAACUCUGUUUCGUGAGGUGUUUCAAUUUUUAAAAGUCUUCCUCCACUAUCUCGUAUCCAAUAUGGCAUACACAACUAGUAACAAUUGUAACAAAAACAAAGAAAACAAAAGAAAAUAAUACUACAAAAAACUAAGAUUAACUAAAAACUAAAUUAAAAGAUAGACUAAAAUAUGAACAAGUAAAAGAGACAAUUAAAAAGAGUUAGUAAAAGAAAAGAAAAAUCACCAAACUUGUUAUCUUCAUCACAAGUGUUUUGGAAAAGGUUAUAUCACUAUAAAAUUGGCACCAUCCCCAGCAACGACGCCAUUUGAUUCGUGCCUAGUUGGUGUAUGCCCUGUUGAUUGGUGUUCAAUCAACUGGUGUACUCUGAUUUCAGUCCUCAGACAUAGUAAUCAACAAAAUUUAUAAACCUAUUUCACCAUAUACUAGGGUAGCAUUAGCUAGCAUAACAUAGUGGCUUUAAGAUCGUCCAUAGGGAUGAGUUUUUAAAUUACAACUGAUAUUAGUUCAAAAACUGAAUUGGUGUUUUUUCUUUUCAAGGUUAGCUUUAAAAGAAAACAUAAAUAAGUUUGAAAAGGUUGGUUUUUGGUGAAACCAAAAAUAAAGUAACUGAAAUUACUUACAAAGAAAAGUGCUUCUUGGAGUUUUAGAUCACUAGGCUCAGGUUCGUCAUACAAAAAGAGAUAUUUCGGUCAAUUGAAUAUUUUCCUCGCAUUGGGGAUUUAACAUAUAGUUAUUUCCCAAACCGGUGUGGUACAGAUGUUUCCCUUUUAUGGUUUCAAACACUAAAUCUCUAUCACUGAAUCAUCUUGCAAUGGUUCAUACCUCUCACCUAGUAUUGGCCAUUCAGGGUGAUCCUUAACCUUGAAUUACCCGUUAAAAGCUCGUAAGAGAUAACUAAUGGAUGUCUCCUGGGAGUCCAAAAAAUUACCAAGUGUUGGCUAUUCUACAUAAUCCUACCUUUAAACCACCUCCCAAAGGCUCGCAAGAGAUAAACUAGUGUAUCUCAAUGAACGAAGAUCACUUGCCUUACCAAGUGUUGGACCAGGUGAUUUUAAGGAAUUUUAAGUUAACUAAAAGGAUAAAAACCAUUAACGGGUCACACUUUCUCUUCAUAAAAACUGAAACAACAAAACUUCCACUUUUAUAUCCGGAACCUUACCCAACUUCCUUCACUCCAAGAAACAAAAAGCCUAGCCACUCAUCCUCUGGGAAAACAUCCUCAGAGUUUGAUUUGCUAGAAAUAAAAAUAAUGAGAAAACAAAAUGAGAAUGUAAGGCAAAGCCAAACUCUGUGUAUUACUUUCUUGAAAAACUAUACAAAGUGUCAUCCCUGAGAAAAACUCCCGAGCGAUCUUCUAAAAGAAAAUUACAAUAGAUAUUAUAUAGAGAGGCUAUUCACCCCUCCUGCUAACUUCCCAACCAAGAAAAAUUGUCAUUGGUGGGUUACAAGAAGAAAAUAGGGAUUUAAACACAAAUAUCUAAAGAUAAAUAUUAAACGGAGUCGGUGCGCAAAUAUCUCAAAUUAUAGGUGGAUUUCGCAAACUUGCAAAAAUUUCUCAAGUUGAAAUUAUCCAUUUCGCAAGUUGCAAAAUUGUCCUGCAACUUAUCAGCUCUUUGUCUUGCAGUUAUUCCUUUCCCCUUCCUACUUCGCUAGUUGCGAAAAUUUUGCAAGUUGGAUUCCACAACUUGCGAAAUUGCUGGAUGGUUGGUUUCUUCUGUGUUUUUCUUCCUUGCAUCCUCGUUUGGCUUUGACAAAGGGCUAUGAAGCUCCAAAGCUUAGUUUCUUCAUGAAUUUGAGCUUCAACUUGCUUUGCCAUGAAAUAUACAAAGAUCUUCCUCAUUCUUGGAUUGCUUUGGUGAUAAAAAAAAAGCUAUCAAAAACACUAAAACUUAACACAAUUUGAUUAGAAAUGAUUGCAAGGGUCCUUAACAUGCCAAUUGAGUUAAAAGGCAAUAACUACUACUCAAAAGUGUUUAAAAGAGUUAAUUACAAGCUAUAAAAUAGCACUUUUUGAGUAGUAAUCAAUGAUAUAUUAGAUGAGUGGAUACGAGAAGGAGAUGAGCCUAUUUUAUCAUCUAAUAAUUUGGAUUGGGUGGAUAAAGGUCUUCCCACUAAUGAAGAAGGUAGAGAAACAGUUCAUGAAGAUGAUGGUGCCACAAAUCGUAGAGUUAGUAGGCGUACAAGUAAUGCUACACAAGAAAGAGAUGUUGAUUCCUGUCAUAAAGGUAAGACUCCUAGAACGAUUUCUUCAAGUUCUAGUAGUGGUGAUGGUGACAAUGGGCGCAGUAGGCGGGAUGGUGGCACUAGUGGGGGUAUUGGAGAAGAUGGUAGCAUGGAAGGAGAUGGUAGCACUGGAGGUGGUUAUGUUAGUCAAGUAGACCAUGGCAUGUCAUGGGCAUAAGAAGGUGAAAAUUACUAUGCCACACAAGAUACAAAUCAUGGAUAUCAAUCAGGGAUAUGAGAAUAACAAAAGCAUUUGGAAAGACUAAUUACAUUUCCUAGCGAUGAUGAUUAUUCUAGUGGGCAUGAUUAUCAUAGAUCAAAUUAUCACAGUAUCAAUGAGCACUUACAGAAUUUGGGUAUAGGAUCAAGGUCGUAUUUCAGAGGGGUAGAUGAUAGAUCAUAUCACAACUUUAGAGACCGUGAUAGCUCUUCCAGUACUUUUAGUAGAUAUGAUUUUGAUCGAUUUCCAAUGAUGCAUCUCAAGGGAUAGUUAAAUACAGGAACACGAGCUAGUGAUUCAUAUGGAUAUGAUCAAUCUUCUCAUAGCAAUAGCAUUGCUUAUUGAGGUUUUGGAUACUAUCAAUAUGGUGUUGACCCGAAACAGCUUUCGAAACCAUAUUUUCCUGAUUAUGGAUCAUCAAGCCAAUCAUCUCAGCCAGCAUAUUCGAGUUAUGAACAACUCUUUCAACCAUAUCCUCACUAUAGGAAUUGCCACCCCAAUUUAUAUACUUGUCGUAGGACUGAUGAUGAUGAUUUUGAACCCCGUUGUCAUUUAACAUGGAAUUGAUUAUUAUAUUGUAUGUUUGUUAGUAAAAAUUUUAUUAUAUUUGAAAUAAAAUAAUUUUCUUUUAUUAGCAUUAUCAUAAAUAACUCUAAGCAAAAUACUUUUAUAACUAUUUAAAUAAUGUCAAAUGUGAGACAAUUUUAUUUUAUUAAUUUUUUGAGCUUAUUUAAUUGUAUAUAUUUUUCUGAUGAUUUACAUAAUAUUUUUAUAAUUUUUUGAAUUUUCUAAUUAGCUUAUUUUACGUAUCGCCCGAUACCAAACCAAUACGCCUAGGGGCCCUCCAAGUCAGUGACCGAUACCGCAACUUUGAACCGUGGUCUUGACGCCAAUGUUACUCAUUUUCACCAUGGACUUCCCAAACUCCAUGUUGAAGUUCAACGCCUGCAAGCCUCUAAUGCCUAGGAAUCGCUGCAUGUAGCUUUUGGUGAAGUCAUUUGUCCACAACUUCUUAUCCGACUCAAGUAUUCCACGUCCAUUCUUCAAAUUUUUAAAGAAAGAGGCAUUGAAUGUGUUGGGGCUACUAGUGUCCAAUGCAACGUGCCUGUUUGCAUCAUUUUUUUUAGGGCAAAAAGCUUGUAGAUGAGGAAAAAAGGCAGGUUCUAUGAAGAAAUCAACACCAUUUCCCGUUGUCGUGUUGAAGUUAUAUAGUUUGUCACUAAAGAAUUGGCAUGCUGAAGUUCCAAUAGUGUGAUCGCCUGUAAUGUGUUCACAUCAAUGUACCGAGUUAAUUUAGGUAUAUAGACUCUGGUGAAGUAGAGCAAAGAAAUUAAACUAAGUAAGUUGAAUAAUUAUGAGUUUGAUACGGCGGUUCUUACAAACUAGAGCAACAAGAUCUUGAUCAUUGAGACCCUUGUCAGUGAACUUUUGCUUUUGGAGUUCAAUGGAGUCACGGGAGGCUGGAAAAUUGGCAGUCUCAGAUGCUAAUGAAACACGACCGUCUCUCCACCCUAUGGGUACCUUCCAGCUUGCUCCUUUGGUCUGCGUAAAACAUUGGAGUAGCAUAAGUAAUAAUAAGGCAUUGAAUAUUGUAAUAUGUUGGGAUCGACCAUGAAUCAUGUAUUUAUGCAUACCAGAAGGACAGAGUCACAGGCAACGAGAGCAAGAAUAUCAGCGCAUUAGUCCACUCCAAGGUAGGCGGCUUCCAACCGGGUCUUGGCGUCAUCUAUUACUUCAUAUCUUCUCAACAGACUAUUGGGACCAUCAGUUCUUUUAGUUGAGGAGCUAGUGAGGAGGAUGAAAGCAUCGCAACCUUGGACGAAGUAGUCAUGGAAGUACAUGCGGAGCAAACAGGGGCAAUGGUUGGGUUGGAAUUGAAAUAAGUUGUAAGUGUCUCUUUCACAAUGGAUUCGACUUUAGGGCAAGUAUAGGAAUAGAACCUGACCCGCAUAUUAGAGAAUUCAUUACAAUAAAUUUUAUUUCUAUUUUCAAAUUCUUGUAAUUAGUUGUGAUUUCCUAUUUUUGUUGUAAUUCCCUAAUUCUAAGAUUGUUUCCCAUUUUUAUGUUUUGGGCUAAUUCUAGGAUUUUUUUUCCUAUUUUUGUUGUAAUCCCCUAAUUCUAGGAUUGUUUCCUAUUUUUGUGUUUUGGGUAGAUUGUUUCCUAUUUUUGUGUUUUAGGUUUUGUGUGUAUAUAUUCAUUCUUAAUCAAUGGAAAACUCAAGCCAUUGUUUCUCAAUAAUCCUCUCUCUACUUUAAUAUGGUAUCAAGAGCCUAAUCUUUUUGGGCAUAUUUUCUUCCUUUUUUUUUUUCCUUCUCUUCAAUAGCUUCCGAUACAUCCUUCUAUUUCCACCAAUGAUCCUAUCACCAUCCAAAACUCCUAAGAUCCUUAACAUCCCCUCCUUACAAUCAAUCUUUCCAAUAUCACCAAAUUGUCAUCCACCAAUUAUCUCACAUGGAGCCUUCUAAUCUAAUAUCUUCUUGAAGGUUAUGAUCUUCAUCACUUCAUUGAUGACACACAUAUUCCACCACCACCCACCAUCACUGUCACUGGUGUUGCAUCCCUAAAUCCGACAUACACAAUCUGGAAACGUCAGGAUCAUCUCAUUUUUAGUGCUCUCCUUGGUGCUAUCUCCGUUUCACUACAACCGCUUAUUGCCCACACCACCACUUUCCUUGAUGCAUGUCAAACCUUAGCUAAUACCUAUGAAAAACCAUCUCGUGGUGAUAUUAAACAAUUAAAGGAACAAUUAAAGCAGUGUACCAAGGGCUCAAAAUCAAUUAGUGAAUAUAUGCAGGCGAUAAAAACUUGUGCCAAUGAACUUGCCCUUUUGGGGAAGCCAGUUGAUGAUGAGGAUCUUAUUGAUCAAGUUCUUGAAGGACUAAGUGAUGAGUACAAAUCCGUCAUUGAUGCAAUUAAUGCCUGUGACACAUCAAUUUCUUUUACUGAGCUCCAUGAGAAACUUCUCAAUAAAAAAACAUCUCUUCAAACUGCUCAAUCAUCUCCUCUAUCACUACCAGCAACGGCAAAUCCCACAGCCUUCUGGAAUCAUCCAAAUUGGCGUCCACCAGCCACCACUCCACAACAACUAGGCCCUACCACUGUGUUUUCUCCUCAUGAUCAACACCAACCCAAACCUUAUUUGGGUCAUUAUCAAGCAUGCGGUAUUCAAGGACACACUGCCAAACGAUGCCCGAUGUUUUGGCUUGUCACUAAUCAACAAUCCCCGACACCUCAUCCUCAAGGCACUUAGGGAUAUUGCCCAUCCACACCUUGGCAACCACGAGACAAUCAUGUUGUUCUCGGCAACAACACUACUCCUACUUUAAUUGUUGGAUAGUGGAGCAUCUCACCACAUUACAUCUGACUUGAGUAAUCUCUCUCUUCAUAACCCGUAUCAAGGAUCUAAUGAUAUCAUGAUUAGCGAUGGAUCGACCCUUCCCAUCACACAUACCGGUUUUACGACCAUACCUUCUUCCUCUCGCACCUUUACUUUACAAAACGUCAUUUGUGUCCCUUCCAUGUAAAAGACCUUAAUUUGCAUUUAUCAAUUUUGCACUAAUAAUCAUGUUUAUGUUGAAUUCUCAGCCUCUACUUUUCAGGUGAAGGAUCUAAACACGAGGGCAAUCCUUUUGAUGGGUGAACCUAAGGAUGGUGUAUAUGAGUGGCCGACUACAUUCCCUUCUGUUACCUUUUCACAGUUGCUUGUAUUUUCCAGUGUCAAGACUACUUCGUCCGAGUGGCACUCUAGACUAGGUCAUCCAUCAUUUACUAUUAUGAAAAAUAUUGUUUCUAAGUUUUCUUUACCAUUGUCUAGUCCGUUAUCCUCUUUCACACAUUGUAAUGUCUAUUCAUGUAAUAAAAGUCAUAAAAUUCCAUUUUCUUUUUCUACCUUAACCUCAUCCCAUCCGCUUGAACUUCUCUUUUCUGAUGUAUGGACCUCUCCUGUUUCUUUUGUUGAUGGUUUUCAGUACUAUGUUUUUUUUUUUAUCAUUAUACAUGGUAUACUUGGUAUUAUCUACUUAAACAGAAAUCCCAUGUGUAUGAUGUCUUUGUGCGCUUCAAGGCAUUAGUCGAAAACCAAUUUAAACGCCGAAUUGUUACCCUCUAUUUAGAUAAUGGUGGCGAAUAUCAAACCCUUGAUAAUUUUCUCUCCACCAAUGAUAUAUCCCAUCUUACUACACUACCACAUACACCUGAACACAAUGGUAUUUCCGAACGACGUCAUCUCCAUAUUGUUGAAACCGGUCUAUCUCUUCUCACUCAUGCAUCGAUGCCUCUUAACUUUUUAGACUUACGCCUUUGCCACUACUAUAUAUCUCAUCAACCAUAUGCCCACACCCACAUUACAUCUCUCAUCUCCUUUUGACAAACUCUUUGAAUUUCCACCCAACUACACUAAACUUCGAGUGUUUGGUUGCUUAUGUUAUCCAUGGCUUCGUUCUUAUUCUCAACAUAAACUUGAGCUCGUUCCACUCCUUGUGUUUUUCUUGGUUACUCUUCAACACAAAGUGCCUAUAUCUGUCUUGAUAUGUCCACCUCAAAAACCUAUAUUUCUCGUCAUGUCAAAUUUCUUGAAAACUCUUUUCCAUUUACCAUCCACCAAUCCUAUCUAGCUCGUCCCACCCCAAAGCUCAUUUCCAACUGGCUUCCUCAGUCCAAACUCUAACCAUUUCAAAUGGCUCACUCAAUACGCCUCCACAAAGGGAUUACUCGUGCCAGCAUCAAUCCUAAAAUGCCCAACCGGUCGAUCGCCCCUCCUCACCAAUUAACCGUUUACCACCAUAACCACACAAUUAUGAGACCUUUCCUGCUUCAACCACAACUCCACCCACCUAUCAAAAUACCCAUCUCAUGACCACUAGAGCCAAAAACAACAUCCACAAACCCUUAACCAAAAUGAAUUCUCUAAUACCAUCAGACAAUGAGAUUCAUAUGUUAACCAAGCCCUAAUCGAUCCUAAAUGGAGACAAGUUAUGAAUGAUGAAUUUGAUGCUCUUGUUCAUAAUGGAACUUGGGAGCUUGUUUCAUCUACUUCUAUGCAGAAUCUUGUUGGAUGUAAGUGGGUUUUUCGUAUUAAACAGCUUCUUGAUGGCUCUAUUGACAGGUAUAAAGCUAGAUUAGUUGCCAAAGGUUUUCAUCAGCGACCUGGCGUGGGUUAUCAUGACACCUUUAGUACGGUUGUCAAGCCAACAACAAUACAACUUAUUCUAAGCUUGGCAACUAGUAAAGGUUGGCAAUUGCGAUAGUUGGAUGUUAAUAAUGCCUUUCUUCAAGGCCAUCUUUUUGAAGAUGUCUACAUAGCCUAGCUUCCGGGAUUUGUUGAUAGAGAUAAUCCAACACAUGUAUGUAAAUUAAAGAAGGCUAUAUAUGGACUCAAGCAAGCCCCAUGGGCUUGGUAUCUUGAACUUCGCCAGUUCCUCAUUGAGUCUAGGUUCACAAACUCUCAUGCAGACACUUCUCUAUUCAUUCUCCACUCAGGUGAUAUUACUAUAUAUCUACUUGUUUAUGUGGAUGACAUUAUUAUCACAGGUACCAACACCAAUAUUAUUCAGCGCUACAUUUAUAACCUCAUGGCACAAAGAUUUUCAAUCAAGGAUCUUGGCGUUUUGUCCUACUUUCUCGGCAUUAAGGUUCUCACCACUCCAUCUGGUGUGUUGCUUACUCAAAGGCGCUAUAUCUCUGAUCUUCUUACCUAGACAAAAAUGUCUAGUGCAAAACCUAUUGCUACACCACUUGUUACAGAUGGAAAUCUCACACUUGAUUCAGGUACAACUUUGACUAACUGCAUAGAAUAUAGAACCCUUGUUGGCAGUCUACAGUAUCUUCACCUUACUCACCCAGACCUAUCAUAUGUUGUUAACAAGCUAUCACAAUUCAUGCAUCUCCCGACAUUUGAACAUUGGAAUGCUGCAAAACGACUGCUUCGAUAUUUGUGUGGCACAUUAACUCAUGGAUUAUUUAUUCAUAAGGCCAAUACACUUUCUCUUCAUGCCUUCUCAGAUGCAGAUUGGGUUGGCAACAAAGAUGACUACCUCUACGAGUGCCUAUUGAUUACUACUCAAAAGGUGUUAUUUCAUAGCUUGUAAUUAACUCUUUUAAACACUUUUGAGUAGUAGUUAUUGCCUUUUAACCCAAUUAACAUAUUAAGGACCUUUGCAAUCAUUUCUAAUCAAAGUGUGUAAGUUUUGGUAUUUUUGUUAGUAAUUUGAUCACCAAAGCAAUCUGAGAUUGAGGAGAGUUCUUUGGAAUCCUUGGCAAAGCAAUGGAAGACUCAAAAACAUGAAGAACCAAAGCUUUAAAGUCCUUUGCCAUAAGCAAAUUCGGAAUGCAAGGAGGGGAAGCAAACAAGAAUCAGCUAUGAAGCAUUCUUGAUGACAGUCAUCUCAGCCACUUUUGGAUCACUUUAUGGGGUUCAAUUUAUACAUUCUAUAUGUCGUUUCGAAGCUCAGGAAGUCAAAAAUCCAAUGCUUUAAACGGUGCAUGAUUCGGAGUUGAAAUGAAGGAGUUACAGCCAUUUCAAGCAGAUCACUCCAAGUUGAAGGAAGAUUUUUGCACGGCUGCGAAAUCAGCCUUUUGCUGCGAAAAUCUUAUCCUUUUGCUGUAAAAUUUUUGCAGCCAUUUUGCACAGUGCACGAGUGUUCUCCUGAAGCUUCCCGAUAUUUGCAACCGACAUUUUGAGAUUUUUUACUUUAGAUAUUUGAUGUCUAAAUUCCCAAACUCUCCUUGUAACCCACCUAUCAUAGGAUUCCUUAGUCUUUAAGCAAGAACAAAGGGUAAAUACACCCAUAUUUAAAGGUUGUAAGUUUCCUCAGAGAGGGGACGACGGACGAAAAACAGGGCUUGUACACAGACACUUUGUAUAGUUUUUGGAAAGAAGUAAAAUUGAGAGUUUUUGCUCUACCUUACCUACUUGUUUUGUUUGUUUAUAUUCAUCUAAUUUUUCUUACUAGCCAAACAAGCUCUGAGGAAGUUUCCUCAGAGAAUGAGUGGCUAGACUUUUAGUUCCUUGGAGCUAAGGUUGCCGGGAAAGGUUCCAAGUGCAAGAAUUAGUAGCUUUGUGGUUUCAACCAUUAAUGAAGAGGAAGUGUGAUCCUUUAAUGAUUUCUAUGUUUUUAGUUAACUUAAAACACCUUCAAUUCGCUUGAGCCAACACUUGGUAAGGCAAGUGAUCUCCGUCCAUAGAGAUGCACUAGUUUACCUCUUGCGAGCUUUUGGGAAGUGACUUGAAGGUAGGAUUUUCUAGAAUUGUCAACACUUGGUAAGUUUUUGGACUCCAAGGAGACAUCCAUUAGUUAUCUCUUGCGAGCUUGAGAAGGGAAGUCCAAAGUUAAAGAUCACCUUGAAUGGAAAAUGCUAAGUGAGAGGCACGAGCCAUUGCAAGUUGCAUUAGUGAGAGGGAAUUAGAGCUGAAAUCCAUUUAAAGGAUAUAUCUAUACAACACCGGUUAGAGAAUUGACUAUAUGUUAAUUCUCUAAUGCGAGGAAAGGAACCAAAUGACCGGAGCUCUGUUUUUGCAUAAGGAACCUCCCCUGUGAACCCAAACCUCCAAGGAAUGUUUUUCUUCAUAAGUAAUUUCCAUUACUUUCUUUUUAGUUAGCUUGAAACAAAACCUCGUUUAACCAAAGUUUGUGUUUUAUUUUUUAAGCUAACUUUGAAAUGAAAAAACACCAAUUUAACUUUGAAUUGGUAUCAGUUGUGAGUUGAAAACCCUUCCCAGAGAACGAUCAUAGAGCCACUAUGCUAUAUUAGCUAAAGCUAUCCUAAUGCAUGGUGAUAUAGGUUAUAAAUUUUGUUGAUUACUCCCUCAAUCAAAGAGCACUAGCUGGACAUGAAUCAACUGAGACACCAAUUGGGCAUGAAUCACCUAUAUUGUCUAUCUUGGUCGUCAUCUAAUUUCUUGGUCAUUCAAGAAACAGCGUACAGUUGCUCGGUCAUCCAUAGAGGUUGAGUAUCGAUUAGUUGCCACUACUACUUCAGAAAUCAAUUGCAUUUGUUCCUUUCUCAUAGAGCUUGGCGUCACUCUUCCUACACAGCCUGUUAUCUAUUGUAACAAUGUUGGUGCCACCUAUCUCUAUUCUAAUCCAGUCUUUUCAUUUGCACAUGAAACAUGUGGAAAUUGACUAUCACUUUAUUUGGGAUCAAGUUCAAUCAGGUGCUCUUCGUGUUACUCAUGUUUCCUCAGCAGAUCAACUUGCCGACACUCUUACUAAACCCCUUCCACAAAGCAGCUUUCAAGAAUUACGAGUCAAGAUUGGCAUCUCCUCUGAAGCUCCAUUUUGAGGGGGCAUAUUAGAGAAUUCAUUACAAUAUAUUUUAUUUAUAUUUUCAAAUUCUUGUAAUUAGUUGUAGUUUCCUAUUUUUGUUGUAAUCCCCUAAUUCAAGGAUUGUUUCCUAUUUUUGUGUUUUGGCUAGAUUGUUUCCUAUUUUUGUGUUUUAGGUUUUGUGUAUAUAUAUUCAUUUUUAAUCAAUGGAAAAGUCAAGCCAUUAUUUCUCAAUAAUCCUCUCUCUAUUUCAACAUCGCGUGCCUUGGCCUUGAACCAAUGCAGCAGCCAUGGUAAUUAGUAGUAGAAACAACAAUAUGGAUGUGAGGGCGGCCAUUAAUACUCUAGCUAGGGAAGGAUUUUAAGAUGGUGAAGAAGAGAGCUACGAUAUGUUAUAUGGUAUUGGCAUAAAUAGUCUUUCCUUCCAAAACCGAGUUUAAAUUUUAGAACUUCCAAUUUCUUCCUUUGAUUAAUGUAAUUUAAACUAGACUUUUAUAGGUUGUGUUGACAAUUUGAAAGGAAAAGUAUGCAAUAUUUUAAUUAUACUUUUUACACAUUCCUUCUCUUUUAUGUAUUAACAUUUAUUUUCUGAAAAAUAAUAUAUAUCAACCAACAUUAAACCAAAAAAUAAUUAAAUCAGUCAUUAAAGGUGUAACUCCCAUACGACAAUCUUUGUUCCUUUCGCUUUGAGCAUUCAUUUGAGAAAUAUGAGAAAUGGUUUGUUUCUACUAUCUUAUUUAUUUUCUUUCGUUGACGGAAAGUCAAAUGUUGAAAUUCUCAAACCCGCUUUGAAGUGGCAUUUGUUAUAAAUAACAUUUAAUUAAUUUAUUUAAAGUUUUCAAAUUCAUUUUUUAAUUACUAGUUAUUAUAAAUAAUCUUUAUUUAUGUAAACUAUAGAAAGACUUUUAAAAAUAAGAUAUAUGAUGAGAUAAAUAGAUUUCAAGUAUUAGAUGAUUUAGAAAAGUGAAUUGAGAAAAAAAAAGUUAUAAAAAGUUACUUAAUAUUAUAUUAUGAAGUUUUAUUUAGUAUAUUAUAAAUUUUUCGUUGCUAUAUAUGUAUGCAUUUUACCAAUUAUUAAUUUAUAUUUUCUCGAGCCUUUAAGAAUUUCUAAAAAUAUUAUUAUUUUAUACAUUUAAUAAGGUUAUUAAGUUAGCACACUAGUUUGAGUCAAGACCAAAAGAUUUUAUUAUUUAAAUUUAUUAAUUUAUUGAACAAUCAUUUAUAGAGGUUUUAUUAUAUAUAGAAAAACCCGUCUAACAAACACAUGAAUGUUAGAUUAUAUAGAGACGUUUAUAAAAUAUUAUACUAUCCAUAUAUUAAUUAUUUGGGUCUUUUCAUUUAUUUAUGAUAAAAAUCUCAAUAGAAGAAGUUAUUUAACAUUUAAAUAUAAUUUAAUGUUAACGUUAUGUCAAGAAAAAAGUUUUAAGGUUUAAAUUAAGAUCCCAGCUAUUCUUCAUGCUACUUAGUAGUAUAUUAAUGGAGAUAACACCAGGAUCGUAAUCAACAAUCCAAUCAGCAGGAUGUCCUUCAUUCGCAUGGAACUUAGAAGUAUGUUAAUGAAGAAAACACCAGGCAGAUGAACUUCCUAUCGACUUUAAUCUAAAUUCCAGCUACAUAUGGGUAUGGCAAACCCAUCCACCAAAUCUAUUUGAUUAUUUGGAAGUGAUGGAUCAGAAGUUGAACUAACAACACCAAGCUCUUCCCAAUCCCAACAGCUCAGCUUUCCAUAUUCUCCCAAACGCUGCAUCGCAAAAACAUUAUCCCUCAUCUAUAAAACCCCAAAGCCAACCCCUUGUAUGCAAACCAUUCUCAGACGAAACUUCUAUCCUCAUUCAAAACUCUCAGUCUUUUAGCAUUUCAGAAAUGGCUCAUCACCAUGAACCAUCCAUUCUGUUGCCUCUACUGUUCAUCACUCUGUCCCUAAUGAGUGGCAAAGAAGUUCUUGCAUCUCGUCACCUUGUCGAAACCACAUUGCCUACGGUUCCUGAGCUUCCUAAGGUGGAAUUACAACCUCUUCCUACACUCCCUACUUUGCCUAAAUUUGAACUUCCACCUCUGCCUCAUGUCCCAACUCUACAAGAGCCCCAGCUGCCAACUUUGCCCAAGCCUGAAUUGCCAACCGUUCCACAUGUCCCAGCUUUGGAGAAGCCUGAACUGCCAGAAUUGCCUAGUCUGCCCCAUCUACCUGACCUGCCUAAGCCCACACUACCUACCAUCCCAACCCUUCCCUUCUCUUUCCCCACCCCACUCAACCACUAGCCCUUGAGCUUUUCCCGUGCUGAGUUUCAUAUCAUUAUCGCAGUCUUAUUAGAUUUUCGGAUGGAGUAGAGAUUGAUAUGGGAAGGAAUCCUUGAAAUCCAGGGUUGCACUCUGGCUCAUAUGUGUGUGGACUCUGUUUUCUUUUGUAGUUUUCUAUUGCAUUGUACUGAUUUGUGAUUGUGGUUGAUUUAUGAGGGAGCGUCUGAUGUGUGGAACUGGGUUCUGUUUGAAGUUACUUGUAUACUCUCAUGGUUGUUAAUUAUUUAUCUUGCAAAUGCCUUUUGAAGUGGAACUUGAAAAUGCCUUUUGAAGUGGAACUUGAAGUACAAACAAUAAUCUAGCUUUUGAUUAGAUGUUAGGCUUUAAUUCCUUGUUGAGAAAAUAGUGCGGUGCAAUGCACUUUCUUGGAUUUAAAGAAUACCGAACACAACACAAUGCUAAUAAUGACAACAAAGAAUUAUCACAAUAUAUUAUUUCACUUCAAAACCAGCAGCCUAUUUAUAGGUUGCAGCAACUGCUUAAAUAUUAAAUUAUGACUUUACUAUUUCUAUACAUACAAAAUAUUUUUUGAAAUUAAAUAAAUAAGUUAUAAAUUAAAUAGGACAUAAUUAAUAGUUUAGAUUCUUUAAUAAAAAUUAAAAUUUUUAAGAAUAAUUUUGAAUUCAAAAAAUCUAAUUAAUUGUGAAUUAAAUAAAAAUAUUUUAGAAUAUUAUGUUUGUAAUUCAAUAUUAAAAAUCUAAUUGAUUGUCAGUCUUUUACUAAUGAUUAAUGUAAUCAUGGCUUCAAUUUAAAAUUUGUGUCACUAUAACUAUUAACAAUUAUAAAGUAGGUAUAUAUGGGAUCUAUCUUCUUGAUUUUAAUUUUUUUAAUAGAAUUAAAUGUUUGAUAAAGAUUUAAAAUAUAUAUAUAUAUAUAUAUAUAUAUAUAUAUAUUAAAGGUAGGCAUAAUAAUAUUUUUUUUUUAAAUUUUAAUAUAGAUCUCUAGCUUCUGCACUUGAUGAACUCACAUGGUCUACAUUUCUCCUUCGAGAUAUUAGCAUUCAAUUACACAAGCCACCUCAACUAUUCACAGAUAAUAUGAGUGCCUUACAUAUGUCCAAAAAUCCUAUGUUUCAUGCCAACACGAAACGCAUUGAACUUGAUUAUCACUUCAUACAAGAAAGGUGGCAAUUGGAAUACUCCUUACUAGACAUAUUCCUUCUACAUUUCAAAUUGUUGAUAUACUCACGAAGUCUCUUUCACACCACUCAACUCAUGUCUUUUGGUUCAAUCUAGGUGUUCAUUGCAUUCCUUUCUCCAGCUUGAGGGGGCAUGAUAGAUACGUCUAUAGGAAACCUUGGAUUACUCCAUUCUCAUGCCCUGGAUCUCAUAGUAUGCAUGAAAAAUCUAUCUAAGGCUCUCUAAAUCUAUUGUGAUGGAAAACCAUGUAAUCAAAAAUCAAUAUUGAUACCAUAGAAAUCAUAGAUUUAAGGAAUAAAACCACAUACCUUUGAUUUGGAUGUUAUUGGAUUAAUUCCAAUCGAUGUAGAUAACUCCGAAGUCGUAAUAGGUCUCAUAAACACCAUGAUCUUUCGCCCGAUAACUCCUCCUUAUGUUUAGGCGCUAAGAUGAUGGAUAUCUCACUCUUUGGACUUUACGGAUAAAAUGGUAAUACACAGAAACUCUAACUCCUAAAGGGGUAUUUAUAGGCUUCUUAUUGGGUGUAAGUUACUUAAGCCUACCAUGGGCUUGAGUCACUUAAUCUUGCCCAAAAAGGUUGCUAAUUGAUUAAUUAAUCAUAUAUGACCCUAAUUAAUUAAUUAGACUAGUCCAAAGAUACCAUUCACUUGUUCUUAUGUAAUCUUACAUAAUUACCAAAAUGAUCUUAUGCACAAAAGUGAACUAAAACCUCAUCAAACCUUUAGAAACCAUGUCAUUAAGGAAUAUGAGCUUAGAGUAGUGAUCACUGGGAUCCAUAAGAGUACUAGCUCCCUGAUAAUCGAAUUCUAAAAUUGACUCAACAUCCCACUACAAAGAGUUAAUUGCACUCCAGUACCCUAUGUAUAUUAAAACAAGACACCAAGUGCUUGAGUUCGUGACCUACUAUCCACUAUAUGCAAACCCCCUAUGAACUAGUGUUUGUAAUCUACCAAGGUAGUACUAUCACCUAUCAAGAUUACCUCUCAAAUCCUUGAGUUAUAGAUCUCACUUAUUAUGUGAUUAAUCAACAUACUCUAGAUCCAAGGAGCAUAUGUUAAAUUCCACUAAAGAAAUUACUAUGACCACAAAUUUCAUGAUCGUAUGUCCUUUGGUUCACGCAAGGGAACACAUUACUUCAGUCCCAUGGGAUAUCAUGGUGUCUCUAUUGAGAAUAUUUGUUGCCACCAACCUCUAUCAAUAGUGACCCGAUCUAUAGGGAUAUAUGACUACUUUAGGGUCUCACCCAUAAGUCAAAGCCUCUUGUAGAUUUUAGUACAACCUCAAUAUCCUCUCAAGGUUGAGAGUCUAUGCAGUAUAGUAGUUUGGUGAAUCAUGAAUUUGAUAAUCUUAUAUCAUAAUUCACCGUAGGUCUUAUCCAGUGUGCAUUACAUACAUUAGCGUACUCACCAUGGGAAACCCAUCUCAACGACCAAGAUAAGUCAUCCCUCUAAUUGGGGAUAGUGCACUACAAUCUCUACUAGAUUGCCCAAAUGCAUGAACCAUUGUAAACAACUUAUCUACUUGCAAGAAACUCAUGACUUGUAUCUUAUGUGCAACUUCUAAUGCACUUAAGUCAUGUACAAUGUAAGAGACAUGGACUGAAUGCUCAAAUCAAUGUAAAUACGCUAAAAGGAUAGUAAGGGAAUAAUUAAGUCUAACUUUGUUAUAUCAUGUUUUGCUUUUAGAGGCUUAAUCCCAACAAUGUCUAUCAAAUUAGAAUUUACAUGCAUUGGUAAAAGAAUAAUUUAUUUUAGUUUCGGUAGACCAGAAUUUGAGAACCAAUUUCCUUAUAGCCAUUGUACUCAAAAUCAACAAACCAAAAUGACAUGAUAAGAUACCUCCAGCAAACCAAAAUUAACAUGUACUGCUAGAAGACAAAUUUCCAAGUUUCAGCAAACUAGAAUCUAAGGAUCAAUUUCCUUAUAGUCAUUGCACUCAAAAUCAAUAAAUCAUAAUCAAAUUAGAAUCAACUUGCACUGGAAAAAUAAUUUCAAACAACCUAGAAUAUUUUUUGGAACAAUAAGUCGUAAUUUUUUUAUUUUAGCAUGGUCAAUGCAAUAAUUAAAAGGAAAGAAAUUGACUACGCUGAAAUAAAAUAAAUUUUGACCUACUGUUCCAAAAAAUUUGUUAUCUAGUUGGAAAUUAUUUUGCUAGUGCAAGCUGAUUCCAAUUUGUAGAUUAUGAGUGCAAUAGCUAUAGGGAAACUGAUCCUUAGAUUCUAGUUUGCUAAAUCUUGGAAAUUAUUUUUGAAACUUGGAAAUUAGUCUUCUAGUAGUACUUAUUGAUUCUGGUUUGCUGAUUUUGAGUACAACGACUACAAGGAAAUUGGUCCUCAAAUUCUAGUUUGCUCAAAUGGAAAUAAAUUAUUCUUUACCAAUGCAUACUAAUUUUGAUUUGUCGGACGUAUCUUAUUUAGUUUUUUUUUUUUUUUUUCAACAUGGUCAAUUUCUUCAUUUUUAAUUGUUGUCAACAAGAUCACUACUAACACUACAAGAAUUUAUUUUCCUUUCAUUAACCAACCUUUCCUUAAUUAUUCAACUAAUGUAUUUUGUAAUAUCCCUUCCUAAUUAGCCUUCCUUAGACAACCACUAAUGUUGACUAAGUCUAACGAUGGUUUCAGGCACCUAUAUAUAUUACCAUAACAGAAAAAUAAAUCAGUGAUAGUGAAUUAUUCUCGGUUAUUUUAAUCAUUCUUCUAAUAUUUUUUACAAAAUUCUUCAUGCAUGUAUUCAACAAUAGAUUUUCCUUAUUGAAUUUCAUCAGGGUGUCGAGGAGAUGAAGCAUACGUGUAUUGGAUCUAUUCACAUAUGUGGUCUUGAGUUUUGGCCAUGCUUCUAAAGGAAGAGUAUAUAGUAAAGAGAUAGUGAUUCGUUUGCCCCAGCUGGUGUCUUCUAAUUUAGUCUUCAGACGGGAAUAAUCAACAAAAUUUAUAACCUAUUUCACCAUGUACUAGGAUAGCCUCAGCUAGCAUAACAUAGUGGCUCUAGGAUCGUUCACUGGGAUGGGUUUUCAUUUCACACCUGAUAUUAGUUUAAAGAAUUGGAUUGGUGUUUUUUCUUUUCCAAGUUAGCUUUAAAAGAAAACAAAAUCUUUAAUUUGGAAAAGGUUGGUUUUAAACUAACCAAAAAUAGUAACUGAGUUUAAUUACAACGAAAAUGGUCUCUUGGAUUUUCAGGUCACUAGGUUCAGGCCCCUUACACAAAAAAUGGAGAUUCUGGAUCUUUCCUUGAUUGGGGAUUUAACCGAUAGUUAUCCUCUCAACCGGUGUGUUAUAGUUGCUUCUCAUUAAUGGUUUCAACGCUAAUUCCCUCUCACUGAUGCAUCUUGCAAUGGCUCGUGCCUCUCACCUAGCAUUUGCCAUUCAAGGUGAUCCUUAACCUUGGAUUACCUUUCACAAGCUCGCAAGAGAUAACUAAUGGAUGUCUCCUUAGAGUCCAAAAGCUUACCAAGUGUUGGCUAUUCUAGAAAAUCAUACCUUUAAACCACCUACUAGAGGCUCGCAAGAGAUAAACUAGUGUAACUCAAUGCAUGGAGUCCACUUGCCUUACCAAGUGUUGACCCAGGUGAUUUUAAGGCGUUUUAAGUUAACUAAAAAUAUAAAAACCAUUACCAGGUCACAACUUCCUCUUCAUUAAAAAUUUGAAACAAGGAAAACUCUCACUUUUGUAGUCGGGUCCCUUACUAAGCUCCCUUCCGUCCAAGAGACAAAAAGUCUAGUCACUCAACCUCUGAGAAAACAUCUUCAGAGGUUGUUUAGCUAGAAUGAAAAAUACAAUCAAAACGAGAAGGUAAGGUAGAGCAACGCUCUGUAUAUUUCUUACUAAAAACAUGUACAAGUGAUCCCCUCUCCAAUGUCUUCCCUUCUUCACAGAGACGAAAGAUAUCAGAUAUGGUUUUUGAGAUAUGGAAAAAUGUAUCGGGGAUUGUCUCUCGGGGAUCUUUUUUACAAGGAGAUAUCUUAGGAUAUAUAAAGGGAGAUAUUUUCAACCUCUUAAUUAGAUAUCCUAAAUAUCCUAAAAGAUCUUCAACUGAUUACAAGGAGAGAAUUGAUAAUUUACACCAAAUAUCUUAAGGUAAAAAGAUCUAAAAGAGGCGGUGUAAAAUAUCUAGCUAUUACAUUUUAGCAUUAGAGACAGGUGGUGCGAAAAAUUUCGCAUCGGAGAAAGUCAGUGUGGAAAUUUUCGCAUUGGGAAAGUGUGCUGUGAAAAUUUUCGCAUUGAGAAAUGUCAGUGCGAAAAUUUUCGCAUCAAGGAAUGUCAAUGCAAAAAUUUUCGCAUCAGGAAAUGUCAAUGCAAAUUCCUCCUCAACUUUGCGCAGUCGCCUUCAAACGGCCAUAACUUCCUCGUUUCAGUUCCAAAUUGCACACUGUUUGAAAGUUGGACUCCUGACUUCUCGAGCUUCAAAAUGAUAUAUAGCAUAUAAAAAUUAGACUCCAAGAAGUGCUCCAAAUUUGCCUUGCAACUUCUGUCCUUUGAAUUUCGCAUAGCAUGUGAAGAUUUCGCAUCACCAUGCAAAAUUGCUUCAUGAUGGAUUUCUCUCUCUGAUCCUCUUCCUUGCAUCUCUUGAUUGGCUUGGAAACUCAUUCCCAAGGGUUGCACAAAGUUCUCUCUCAUUCUUGGCUUUCUUCAAUGAUCAAAAAGCUAUCAAAAACACCAAAACUAGCCAAAAUUUUGAUUAAAAACAUAUGCAAAGGUCCUUAAUGUGCCAAUUGAGUUAAAAGGUAUUAAUUACUACUCAAAAGUGUUUAAAAGAGUUUAUAACAAGCUAUAAAAGAGUACUUUUUGAGUAGUAAUCACUCCCCCCAACCGACAUAUUGCUAGUCCCUUAGCAAUGAAGAAGAGAAAAACAAAACAAAAAUUAAGAUAAUAAUAUAAUUUACAAAAUCAUGUUGAUCACUUCCAAAAAAUCAUAAGUGGCAUGAUUGCAAAACAUACUCUCACAUGGAACAUUAAAGAAACAAAACUCAUCCUUCAACAAGAGGGUAUCAAAACUCUUACCUGAUCAUAAUUCAUAAAGAGUAGGCAUUAUGCAAAUUUAAGUCAUGAUAGGAUUUCCAUUCUCCUAGGCUCAAUCAGUACUCUUCCAAAAAAAUCUAAGUGUUAUUUAUUAGCUUCCGAAUAUAGUACUCUGAACUAAUCUCUCCCCCCAACCUAGUUCUUUCACAGACUUCAGCAAACUGACCACUUUCAAUAGGCUAAGAACGCACCUCUUUUAUUUCACAAUUUUUUUCUUGUAGGAGUGCAAUGCUAAAGGUAUUAUUUUCUAAAGUGUCCAUGUAACGGGGGUCCAUCGAUGACUCCCAACCAAUCAAGGUUUAGGGCAUCAAGCUUUAAGGAUCUUUCAACCACUAACUCCUCGGAUUUUACCCCGGACUUUUGAAAUUGAAACUUAAUACCUAAGCACCUACAAUAUGUUAAACUCUACCUAUUCACCCUUGUAACGAGCAGUGAGGUCGGUGACUCCCAACCAAUUAAGGCUUAGGGCACCAGGUUUAAAAGAUUUUCACCAUAUACCCCUCGGACCUUACUCGGGUUUCAAAGCAAGUAAAACACUUUGUUCUUUCUCUUUUUUUUUCUUUUUUUUUUUUCAAGACUCAUUGGCCUUUUAUAAGGUGUCCCAACACUAUUAAAAUGAGGUCAAAGGUACUAAGUCUAAAUUUUCCUAAGUUGAAGAGGUGAGAUAGUUUAUCAUCUUAUAAUCGGAAUCUAAAGUGCACAGUGUGUGGUAAGAUUAAAGUGGAAGAAAUAAGGUUGAAUUCAAUAGGAGUUUCAAUAAUUCAUCAACCUCAAUAAGCAUAAUACGACUCUACUAAUCAAAUAAAAAGGCGAGAAUUCAAUUUCUCUCAUUUCAUUUUGAGAAUUUUUCCUUAAUAACCAUGUAGAGUAGAGUAAAACUUUUAAAAUUAAGAAAAAAUUUAAAAAUUUGAAAAAAUUAAGCAAAAAGUACUAAAUUAACAAGAUAAAUUAACAUUAUUAACAACUUCCUUCCUUUACUCUCCCCUCAACCAAGAUCAACAUUGUCCUCAAUGUGUCAAGAACGAUUAUAAAUAAAGGGAGGAAAUGGUACCUCCUUAGUGACAUGGAGUCUGAGUCGUAUAGGAAAAACCACAUGAUUCAAAAAAUAAAAGAUUAAUGAGUAAAGGAGAUAGAAAGUGCCAAGUAUAAACAAAAAUCAUAUGUAUAUAUUACUCUAAGAAAGUACAAUGAAAUGAUCAUGCAAUACAUCCAAUCCCAGAAUAUAUAAUAUCAACUAAUAUACUAAGUAAAUACAAUAUAAAGAAAUGAUCAAGGAGCGGGGUCCUCUAGUGGACAUGAUGGCUCUGGGGCUGUCUCAUGAGUGACUUGAGGUGGGACUUCAGCUGUGAUGGUCUCCUUAGUGGAGCUCUUGGCUUUGAUGGCCCAGGAAUAUCAGUCUGAGGUGGCGCAAGACCCAGAUGCUAUUGUAUCUGACGAAGGAUAGCAGUAUGCUGGUCAAGAAUAAUAGAAUGUCGAUCCUGCUGAUCUCGGAUGUCUCUCAUCUUCCAAAAUAGAGCGUCUUGUGUGGUGUUGAGUGUUCUGAAUAAUAAUACCAUACCAUGAAACUCUGAGCCAGAAAUGGUGAUAAAGUCCUAUGAUGGAGGAGGUACAACUGGUGGAACAGGUGGUGUAGCUGGAGGAUCAGUAGAGGCGGCCUGAGGCAUAGAUGGUGCAGCAGGAGUUGAUGGAAUAGACUCUGUGGGAUGCUCGUCCUGCUGUGCCUGGUUAGGCUGUGCUGGUACUGCAGGUACUGGCACUAGAGAUACUGGCCUGGGUAGGACUGCUUCAGCUGAAUUCCUCUCUGCUAGCUAUGUCCAUUGGUCAAGAGUGAAAUGCUCUCGACAAUGGUGGCUGCGCUCGAGAUGGGGCUCAUUAAGGUAGCCCAUAUGCUCCAAGAUAUGGCAGAGAAGCCUCGGAAAUAGUAAUGGAAUUGCAUGAGAGCGUCUAUGAUCAGAUGGUGUGGACCAAAAUAGAAACCCAUAUAUAUCUCGUAUAGUGCAUCCAAAAUAGGUCCUUGCCUUUGCACUGAAUGCUGGAGAGGGAAAAUAUUGGACCUUAACAAUACAUCUACUAUGAGCAUCUCAGAUGGAAGGUCCUUACGUAGCAGGCAUGUAUCUCCAGAAGUCCCUUGUGAUAGAAUGCAAACCAUGUUUCUCUGAGAUGUGGAGGUCCACUGUCUGAACUGCUCUGGAUCCUCUGGCUGAAAUGGAAUGUGGAGAGCCUCAAUAAUAUGCCUAGCCUUUAAGAUACCAUGACAUCCGUCUAUACUGAAACGAAUGGCUAUGGAACCUUGGACGUCCUAAGUAGUCAUGGACUGAUAGAAAUCCAUCGCUACUCUGGGAUAGAAAAACUCUCUAGGAGUCAUCAGACACUCGAGAUGGUACCUCUGGAGCAAUCCAAACGAAUCCCAAAGGUCUGGCUGCUGUCGCAUAGCCUCUAUCUCGAAGUAGAGCUCAUAGUGAAAUGGUUUGGCUCUACAAUCCAAAUUACCAAGAAUGGGAGGCGUAGUAAACAUUGGUCUCUUGAUGAUGACUUCAGGAGUAGUUCCUGAAGGUCUCUGAAUAUCUUCUAGGGCCUAAGAAUUGGCUGGAGCCUGACUAGAUGUCUCUCCAAGGCCCGAGGUUCUGUCUCUCUUUGGUGGAACACGGCGUACUGAUGGCUCUAGGGGUGGAGAAAUUGGCGGUCUCCGUGUCGAAUACCGGCGCUGAGGAGGGUUAAAAGGCACCACACUCUCAGGAAAUGGUACGGUCAGGGCCUGAGAGGCCUGAGAUGGAUCCUGAGGAGCAGAGGCCCUUGGCCGAGCCUCGCGAGAUGCGAACGGGUCUGUAUGGCCUCCUUUGGUGCGCACCAUAGCUGAUAUGGACGAGAUGUGGAUUGCUUUGCUUCUCUUUGGUGGACACGAGGCGUGGAUUGAUGAGGAUUUUUUAUCACAAGGCAGCAGUGAGCUCUUCGCAACAGAGGACGUUUGUGCCAAAUGGUGAGCUGGAGGCCUUUAGAUAAAAAAUUAAAAUGACUUUUGGCUUACCUCUUGGCCAUUAAGUGACCGUUGGCAUUUCGCAUGAGUAGUGGCAGAUGCGAAAUUGAAAUGCCUAAUGCAAAAUUGGAAUGCCUGAUGCGAAAAGGCGGUGCGAAAUUUUUCGCAUUGAGUAGUGGCGGUACGAAGCUGAUGCGAAAUUUUCGCAGUCAGUUCGCAUGGAGAAUCGGCGGUGCAAAAAUUUUCGCACUGAGUUCGCACUGAGAAUGGGUGAUGCGAAACUGAUGCGAAAUUUUUCGCAUUGGGUUCGCACUGAAUUCGCAUUGAGAAUGACCGGUGCUAAUUUUUUCGCAUUGGUUUCACACUGAGUUUUGGCGAUGCGAAUUUGUUUCGCAUUGAGAAAAGUUGAUGCGAAAUUUUUCGCAUUGGGUUCGCAUUGAGUAUGGUCGGUGCGAAAUACUUUGUUUUCCUCUAUUUUUGACUUCCCCUGCUCUGAACAUAAAAAAUUUAAGCUAAAUCAUAAUAAAAUUAAAUUAAAGCUAGAAAUUCUAACUUAAAAACAUAUAUCAAAUCUAUAAAACUUGAAAUAUAAGAAUUUAAAACAAAACAACAAGUAAAAAUUCAAAAAAUAUGGACUUAGUGUCUUCCAACAGACUAAGCCCAUCUAACCAUUUUUCUUCAGGCUUGAUGUGGUUCAAGGAGGUUGAUUUCCUCCUUGUCUUUAGAAAAUGGCUCCAAGAAUGGCUUCAAACGUUGGCCAUUGACUUUGAAAGUCCCGGUACUGCUGAGUAGCUCAAUUACUCCAUUUGAAUAGACUUCAUGGGUAGUAAACGGACCUAUCCAUCUUGAUUUCAAUUUUCUCGGGAAGAUAUGGAGCUUAGAGUCAUAAAGCAAGACUCUUUGUCCCUUCUGAAAUUGUUUGCAGGAGAUUAACUGAUUAUGCCACCUUUUCAAUCUCUGUUUUGCAAUGUUUGAAUUGAUAUAGGCGUCAUUUCUCAAUUCCUCCAUCUCAUUAAGCUCUAGAAAUCUCUUCAUGCCGGCUCUGUUCAAGUCCAUGUUGAGUGUCUUGAUUGCCCACCAGGCUUUGUAUUGCACUUCAACUGGGAGAUGGUACGCUUUGCCAUAGACUAGGCGAUAUGGAGACAUUCCAAGAAUGGUCUUGUAAGCUGUCCUGUAAGCACAUAGUGAAUCAUGAAGUCUAAUAGACCAAUCUCUUCUACUCAUAUUCACCACUUUCAUCAGUAUGUUCUUUAUCUCCCAGUUGGCUAACUCAACUUGCCCUGAAGUCUGAGGGUGAUAAGAUGUAGCUACCUUAUGCUUUACCCCAUACUUGGCUAAGAGAAUUUCAAACGAUUUGUUACAAAAAUGAGUACCCCCAUCACUGAUUAUGGCUUUGGGUACUCCAAAUCUAGAGAAGAUGUUCUCUUUGAGAAAUUUGAGAACAACCCUAUGGUCAUUUCGCUUGCACGAGAUUGCUUCAACCCAUUUAGAAACACAAUCCACUCCCACCAAGAUGUAAGAAUAACCGAAGGACAUAGGAAAAGGUCCCAUGAAGUCAAUGCCCCAUAUAUAAAAAAGAUCAACUAUUAAAAUGGGAUUCAAAGGCUGAGUUCUUACGUGUUAAUUUCCCAAGCCUUUGGCAUUUGUCACAGCUUCUACACUUGGUGAGGGCGUCUUUAAAGAGUGAUGGCCAGCAAAAACCCGAUUGUAACACUUUCAUGGCUGUCUUCUGAGAAGCAAAGUGGCCUCCACAUGUGCUCUCAUGGUAAUGACUGAGGAUCCCCUGUUGCUCUUACUCAGGGACGCACUUCCGGAUUAUUUGAUCCACACAAUAUUUGAAUAGGAAUGGCUCUUCCCAGUAGUAAGCAUGAAUUUUUGCAAAGAAGUGCUUCUUAUCUUAUGCUUUCCACUCACUUGGAACUUCUCCAGUAACUAAAUAGUUAGCAAUAUGAGCAUACCAAGGAACGACUUCAAUCAACAUGAGUGACUCCCCUGGAAAAUCAUCAUUUAUUGGCAGACUGUGGGAAUUAUGUGCUAUGGCUAGCCUCGACAAAUGGUCGGCUACCACAUUUUCCACUCCCUUCUUGUCUUUGAUCUGAAGACUGAAUUCUUGAAGCAAGAGAAUCCAUCUGAUUAGCCUUGCUUUUGCAUCUUGUUUAGUCAACAAAUAUUUUAAGGCUGAAUGGUCAGUGAAAACCACAAUGAAAGACCCUACCAAGUAAGUGCGGAAUUUGUCUAAGGCAAAAACUACCGCCAGCAAUUCUUUCUCAGUGGUUGUGUAGUUUCUUUGCGCUUCAUUCAACAUUUUGCUUGCAUAGUAGAUCACAUAGGGCUUUCCAUUUUCUCUUUGCCCAAGAACAGCUCCUAUAGCAAAGUCACUAGCAUCGCACAUCACUUCAAAUGGUAAUUGCCAAUUGGGAGCUCUCACUAUUGGAGCGGUUGUCAGCAAUAACUUCAAUUCUUCAAAACUCUGUUGACAUCGAUCAUCCCAUACAAAUUUAGCAUCCUUCACUAAUAGCUCACAAAGAGGUCUUGCAAGUUUAGAGAAAUCUUUUAUGAACCUCCUAUAGAACCCAGCAUGGCCAAGGAAUUGUCUUACUCCUUUGAUAGUUGUUGGCGAUGGCAACUUGACAAUGAGUUCAACUUUUGCUUUGUCCACCUCAAUGCCUUGACUGGAGAUAAUAUGCCCAAGGACGAUCCCUUAGGGUACCAUGAAAUGGCAUUUCUCCCAGUUGAGAACCAAGUCCUUCUCAAUGGAUCGGUUCAACACAGCUUCCAAAUUGACUAAGCAUUCGUCAAAUGCACUUCCAUAUACGGUGAUAUCAUCCAUAAAGACUUCCAUAAUAUGCUCCAUCAUAUCACUAAAAAUGCUUAACAUGCAUCUUUGGAAUGUUGUUGGUGCAUUGCAUAAGUCGAAAGGCAUUCGUCUGUAUGCAUAAGUUCCGAAUGGACAAGUGAAAGUGGUCUUCUCCUGAUCUUCAACAGCAAUUUCAAUUUGAAAAUACCCGGAGUAGCCAUCCAAGAAACAGUAUAAUGGAUGGCCUGAGACCCUCUCAAGUACUUGAUCAAUAAACGGCAAUGGGAAGUGGUCAUUCCUUGUUACAGCAUUCAGCUUUCUAUAAUCAAUACACACCCUCCAACCUGAAGUGAGGCAUGUAGAAACUUCCUCUCCCUUAUCAUUUUGCACCACUGUGAUCCCUGAUUUCUUUGGCACGAUUUGCGUAGGACUCACCCAUGGGCUAUCUGAUAUGGGGUAGAUAAUACCGGCCUGAAGUAGCUUAAGCACCUCAGCUCGCACCACCUCUUGCAUGUGAGGAUUCAACCUUCGCUGGGGUUGACCAACUAGCUUAGCUUCUUCUUCCAUGUAUAUAUGAUGAGUACAAACUAAAGGGCUGAUCCCUUUCAAAUCAGAAAUUUUCCACCUUAUCGUCUUCUUACAUCUCCUGAGGAUUUCAAGUAGACAACCCUCCUGAGUAGUGGUAAGAGAUGAAGAAAUAACAACAGGGCUCUCCUUAUUCUCCUCUAGGUAUGCAUACUUCAACUCCGUGGGUAAUGGCUUGAGAAUAAGCUUUGGGGGUUCCUCUUCAAUGGAUUCUGGUGUCUCCUCCUCAUUGAAUAAAGGGAGAAUUUCUUCCCUCAUCUUCAAAUGAGGCAGAGUAGCAAGCGAAUCUAAGGGUUCAGGUAACCCUUCAUCAAGAUCCCCAAAGUUCUCGUUCAAGUCUUCUAGCAUCUUCUUAUCACAAUGCUCCUCCACUAAGUUAUCAACAAUACAUACCUCUUCUGGUCCUUCUUAUUCUCCCAGAUGGAAUUGUUUAUUGCACAUAUAGAAGAUGUUGAGUUCCAACGUCAUGUUGUUGAAUGUAAGCUACAUGACUCCAUUCCUACAACUGAUGAUGGCAUUUGAAGUAGCUAGGAAUGGUCUUCCAAGUAUGAUAGGAAUAUAGUUAGUUCCUUUGGCGAUCGGAUUCGUAUCAAGAACAACAAAGUCCAUUGGGUAGUAGAACUUGUCAACUUGAACUAGGACAUCUUCAAUCAUACCUCUUGGAAUUUUCAUAGAUCUAUCUGCUAGAGAUAGAGUGAUUGAUGUUGGCUUCAACUCUCCCAGUCCCAAUUGCUUAUAGACAAAGUAGGGUAGCAAAUUCACACUUGCUUCCAAGUCCAACAAAGCUUUCUCCACACACGUCUCUCCAAUCAUCAUUGAUAUGGUAGGACAGCCCGAAUCUUUGUAUUUCACUGGGGACUUACACUGUAUAAUGGAACUUACUUGCUCAGUUAAGAAGGCUUUCUUACUCACAUUCAACCCUCUUUUGAUAGUGCAUAAGUCCUUAAGGAAUUUGGCAUAAGUCGGAACUUGCUUGAUCAUGUCUAGCAAAGGGAUAUUAACUUUCACUUGCCUCAACACUUCAAGAAUUUUUUAUGCAUUGCUGAUUCCCUUCUUGCCAUGCAAAGCUUGAGGGAAAGGUGGAGGCAUGUGCUUCUUUAUCACUUCUUUUUGGUUAAUGGUCCUCUCCGGUUUUUCAUUCACCUUAGCUUCAAGGUCCUCCUUCUUUGUACUACUUCCUUUCUUCUUUCCUUUGUUUUCCUCCCUCUUCUCUUUCUUUACUUCAGACUCCGGUUCUUACUCUGGCUUGAGUGUAGGCAGAUCAACCUCUUUACCACUCCUUAGAGUGAUCACUACUUUGACUUCCCUCAUCUGAGAAUAUUCUCCCUCCUGAGCCUCCACUUCAUGGAUAGCCUUUGGAUUCUGAUGAGGUUGAGAAGGAAAUUUUCCUUUCUCUUGCACUGUGUUGAGAUUAGUAAGCCGUGAGAUCUGGUACUGGAGAUUAUCUAUCUUCUGAGAUAGAUCAUUGUGCUUCUCAUCCAUCCUUCUAUCUCUAUUGGUCAAUUCUUGCAUGAUAUGAGCAUUUUCUUGCCUGAUCUGAUCAUUGGUGGAUCUCUGGUCUGCAACAAAGUCUCCCACGACCUUGUUAAGAUUCAGAAUGGCUUGUUCAAGACUUGAAGCUUGUGGGGGUGUUUGGCCAGGUUGCGUGUAUUGAGGUGCCCUUGGCUUCCAAGAGAAAUCCGGAUGGUUCCUCCAAUUUGAAUUGUAGAUGUUGAUAUACAGAGCAUUAUUAUUGGGCUUGAACUGUCCAAUAAAAUUUGCUUGAUCCCCAAACAUUUCUCUCAUAGCUGGCAUCAUAGGACACUCUUCCACCAAAUGCUCAAAAGAUUGACAAAUUGAACAUGGCUUAACUUGCAUUGGUGUGUCUGAAAUGGCCUACACUCCAAGUUGCCCCAUUCUUCUUCUUGCCAAAGUUGCAUAAUUUGCUUUUGUAUGAGUACCUUCAUUCAAAAUAUACAUCCCAACCUUAGCAUUUGAAGCAUUUGGUUGAGAAUUCAUUCUUCCCACUUUUCUGGCAUUGGGCUCAUCCCAUCCUCUUAAAACUUCAGCUACAUAACUCAAGAAAUCCAUGGCUUCCUCCGGAUUCUAACUCAUGAAGUCUCCUCCGCACAUUGUUUCUAAGAGUUGCUUCAUUGAGGAAGACAUACCGUCAUAAAAAUAGCUCACCAAUAGCCAUGUAUCAAAGCCAUGGUGAGAACAAGUGUUGAUAGCUUCCAUGUAUCUUUCCCAACAUUCAUAGAAUUUCUCAUUCUCCUUAGUUGAGAAGUUUGAGAUUUGCCUUUUCAAGCCGUUUUUCCUGUGAGUUAGGAAAUUUUUUUUGAGAAAUUCAGCUUGCAAAUUAGUCUAAGAUCAGAUGCUCCUUGGCCUUAAAGAAUUAAGCCAAACUUUGGCCUUGUCCUUUAAAGUGAAAGGAAACAGCUUAAGCCUCAUCAAGUCGAUUGAAGCUCUUCCCUCUUGGAAAGUCUUGCAAACUUCUUCAAAUUCCUUGAUAUGCUGGUAGGGAUUCUCACAGUCCAUCCCAUGAAAAAUAGGUAGAAAUGGCACAAUAUGUGGUCGGAUCACUAGUUGCUCUGUAAGUGGCACUAUGCAUGAUGGUGUACUCAUACGAGGCGGAUGCAUACGGUCCCUCAUGGAUCGGUAUGCGUUGAGAUUUUCAGCUGGAGCAUGUUGACUAUGCUGAUCUUUAGGUAUAGCUUCCAUGACUUCCACUUCCAAUUCCAACUCUGUUUCGUGAGGAUUUUUUAUUUUCACAAGUCUUCCCUCACUGUCUUGUAUCCAAUAUGGCAUACACAACUAGCAAUAUCUGAAACAAAAAUAAAAACAAAGAAAACACAAGAAAAACAAUUCUAGAAAGAAAGAAAAUCACAGUUAAAUAAAAUCUAAUUUAAAAGCUAAACUAAAAAAAAUAGAGAUAAAUAAAAAGAAAUAAAAGAAAAAGUUAGUAAAGGAAAAGAAAAUUCACCAAACUUGUGAUGAAGAUCACAAGUAUUCUAAAAAGAUAACAUCACUGUGAAGUGGCACCAUCCCCGGCAGCGGCGCCAUUUGAUUCAUUUGCCCCAGCUGGUGUCUUCUAAUUCAGUCUUCAGACGAGAGUAAUCAAAAAAAUUUAUAACCUAUUUCACUAUGUACUAGGAUAACCUCAGCUAGCAUAGCAUAGUGGCUCUAGGAUCGUUCACUGGGAUGGGUUUUCAUUUCACACCUUAUAUUAGAUUAAAGAAUUGGAUUGGUGUUUUUUCUUUUCCAAGUUAGCUUUAAAAGAAAACAUAAUCUUUAUUUUGGAAAAGGUUGGUUUUAAACUAACCAAAAAUAGUAACUGAGUUUAAUUACAAAGAAAAUGGUCUCUUGGAUUUUCAGGUCACUAGGUUCAGGCCCCUUACACAAAAAAAUGGAGAUUCCGGACCUUUCCUCGCAUUGGGGAUUUAACCUAUAGUUAUCCUCCCAACCGGUGUGUUAUAGUUGCUUCUCAUUAAUGGUUUCAACGCUAAUUCCCUCUCACUGAUGCAUCUUGCAAUGGCUCGUGCCUCUUACCUAGCAUUUGCCAUUCAAGGUGAUCCUUAACCUUGGAUUACCCUUCACAAGCUCGCAAGAGAUAACUAAUGGAUGUCUCCUUAGAGUCCAAAAGCUUACCAAGUGUUGGCUAUUCUAAAAAAUCCUACCUUUAAACCACCUACCAGAAGCUCACAAGAGAUAAACUAGUGUAACUCAAUGGAUGGAGUCCACUUGCCUUACCAAGUGUUGGCCCAGGUGAUUUUAAGGCGUUUUAAGUUAAAUAAAAAUAUAAAAACCAUUACCAAGUCACAACUUCCUCUUCAUUAAAAAUUUGAAACAAGGAAAACUCUCACUUUUGUAGUCGGGUCCCUUACUAAGCUCCCUUCCGUCCAAGAGACAAAAAGUCUAGCCACUCAUCCUCUGAGAAAACAUCUUCAGAGGUUGUUUAGCUAGAAUGAAAAAUGCAAUCAAAACGAGAAGGUAAGGCAGAGCAACACUCUGUAUAUUUCUUACUAAAAACAUGUACAAGUGAUCCCUUUUCCAAUGUCUUCCUUUCUUCACAGAGACAAAAGAUAUCAUAGAUGGUUUUUGAGAUAUGGAAAAAUGUAUCGGGGGUUGUCUCUCGGGGAUUUUUUUUACAAGGAGAUAUCUUAGGAUAUAUAAAGAGAUAUAUUUUCAACCUCUUAAUUAGAUAUCCUAAAUAUCCUAAAAGAUCUUCAACUGAUUACAAUGAGAGAAUUGAUAAUUUACACCAAAUAUCUUAAGGUAAAAAUAUCUAAAAGAUACGGUGUAAAAUAUCUAGCUAUUAUAUUUUCGCAUCAGAGAAAAUCAGUGCGGAAAUUUUCGCAUUGGGAAAGUGUGCUGCGAAAAUUUUCGCAUUGAGAAAAGUCAGUGCGAAAAUUUUCGCAUCAGGGAAUGUCAAUGCAAAAAUUUUCACAUCAGGAAAUGUCAAUGCGAAAUUCCUCCUCAGCUUUGCGCAGUCGCCUUCAAACGGCCAUAACUUCCUCGUUUCAGCUCCAAAUUGCACACUAUUUGAAGGUUGGACUCUUGACUUCUCGAGCUUCGAAAUGAUAUAUAACAUAUAAAAAUUGGACUCCAAAAAGUGCUCCAAAUUUGCCUUGCAACUUCUGUCCUUUGAAUUUCACAUAGCAUGUGAAGAUUUCGCCUCACCAUGCAAAAUUGCUUCAUGAUGGAUUUCUCUCUCUGAUCUUCUUCCUUGCAUCUCUUGAUUGGCUUGGAAACUCAUUCCCAAGGGUUGCACAAAGUUCUCCCUCAUUCUUGGCUUUCUUCAAUGAUCAAAAAGCUAUCAAAAACACCAAAACUAGCCAAAAAUUGAUUAAAAACAUAUGCAAAGGUCCUUAAUGUGCCAAUUGAGUUAAAAUGUAUUCAUUACUACUCAAAAGUGUUUAAAAAAGUUUAUAACAAGCUAUAAAAGAGCACUUUUUGAGUAGUAAUCAGAUAGUGUGUUUUAGUGUUUUUGCUUGUCUCACAUAGGAAAAAGAGGAACACCUUUAGUGGGUAUAUUAAUUAACCUACUUUCAUUAGCCUAAUGGGCUUGUGGAAAGGUGUAGGGAAGCCUCGCACGCCCAAGGGGCCCAAAGUCCAUUUCAGUAGGGUUUUGGGAAAUUAGGGCUACAAUCCCUUAAUGUGCAUCGUGUGUGCACACAUACACUACACAAAGGUCCCCUCCCCCCAUCCUCCCACUGCGUAUGCGUGUGUGAGGUCAACUACUUUUUAAAAAAUUCAAAAUAAAAUUAUUUUUAAUUUUAUUUCUUUAAUUCCCAUUUGACUUAGUCUUUUAGUUUGGUUGAGUCUUCUAAUGCGUUGUUUCUUUCAAGAGACUAAGUAGCUAGUCUCAUGUUUGUGGGCUAGUGGUUCCGAUUUUAUGGGAGACCUGUUGGGACUUUGCCUGUAAAAGCAUAACACCCCUUGAGUUCUCUACAUUGCAUUUUCCUAAGAGUUUUCCCAUUUUAUGUUCUUCAUCCCUCUCUAUUCUACAUUCAAAGCCUCAUGUGUUCUGAAAUCUUUCAUUCUUUGUUGCAUUCACCACUGUAGUAGCUCUAAGCCUACAUUCACCACUAUAACAACCGCACAUGUUGUUGCAUACCUGAGCCUGCAUCCAUCUCCACUGCAACACUCGCGUUCUUUACUAUGGUUGUUGCAUUCUUGCACCUAUCUAGAGGAUUAUUUCAAAAUCGGGUUGUACAAAAUCUCGUAUGUAGUGCACCUAAGGCAAGAUUCCAUUGGCUGUUGAAUCUUGGAGGUGGACCACUAGUUCCCUAAUGCACCGAGCUUGUCUUUGAGGAGAGUGGAUCUACUUUAAGGACAAUGCUUAUCACACUUCAACCGACAAUCACAAUAAGUUUUUGUUUUUCUUUAUGUUCUUUGAUUGCUUGUUCUAGGUUAGAUCAAUUUCACUGUCUUCCUUAUAUCCGUAAAAUAAUAGCUUCAACACUAGUCUUGUAUCUUGACACAAGGAUGAAGAUAUUGGUAGAAACUAAUGUCCGAAGAGCCUGUAAAAGAAAGUGGUCUUGUCGCAACCAAAGUUUAUAACUUGGGUUUGCAAUCAACGUCGUAGUUGGACAUCAUCAACCUAUUGAUUCCUGAAUCAAGCAUAUUAAAAUUGAUCAUCAUUUUGAAUGUUCCAGGGAAAGUAGCUAAUAGUUCUUUCACAAUUUUCUCAUAUUUCAACUUAGGAUCAACUAGCUGAUAUUCUUACCAUGCCCAUAAGUAAUAUCUUUUGCAAAUCAAGAUUUGGCUCUAUAAUGAAAGCACCAUUUCGCAGCAGCAUAUAACAAAAGUAGCAAAUUCCAAUAAUUAAGCUUAAUCAUGAUAGGCUUGAUACUUGUCAUUCUCAAGUCUUUAAUUGGGAAAGUGAUUGUAAUAUUAGGUGUAUGAUAUUAUGUAUUAUAGGGUGUAUACUUGUCAUUUUCAGGGUAUUUUGUGAUAUUAACAAAUGAGAAAACUACAUGACUGCCACAUAUUACAUAAAUACAUGUGUAUCAAGUAGUUGUUCAUUCAUUUGAUGCACACAUUGACCAUGUUGAAUAACGCGAUUCUUAUUUUAAGCACUAAAAUUCUUAUGAUAUCCAAACGUAUAUACGCCUUAGGUGUGUCUACAUACACCCCACCAAUAUGAGCAAUUAUAUUUGGUAUAUAUAGAGAGUUGGUAUGUAUUAAUAUUAGACAAAAGAAACAGGAUAAUUUCCACUUUUUGACUUGGAGAUCAUCAACCUCACCAAGAGUGGGUAUCCUUCACUAUCAACCCAUCCACAAGCUCCUUUUUUUUUUUUUUUUUAUCAAAUAUGAGUCAGCUAUAUAUCUUUUGAUUAGCAUCCAAGUAUAUAUGAUGUGUGAUAGGUUUUGAAAAAUUAAUUUAUUAGCUUAUGCAAAUUGAUAUAUAGAUAAAUGAUGGCUACAGUAUGAUCACUUUGGGAAUAAAUAAGAUUAAAGCCAUGUUGUUUUUUAUUGAUGGAAAUUAAUCUGUGAUGCGAUAGGGUCAAUUAAUUGCGGAGCACACCUUGUAAAUCUCACCCUCAGUGCUAGUCGAUUACUACCCAAAAAGUACUUUUCUAUAGCUUAAAACUAACUGUUUUAAACACUUUUGAGAAGUAGUUAAUACCUUUUAACUCAAUUGGCACAUUAAGGAACCUAGCAAGGGUUACUAAUCAGUUUUUGGCAAGUUUUGGUGUUUUUGGUAGCUUUUUUAUCAUUGAAACAAGCCAAGAAUGAGGGAGAAUUUGGUGAAAUCCAUGGCAAAGCAAGUUAAAGCUCAAAUACAUGAAGAAUCCAAGCUUUGGAGCACUUCAUAGCCCUUUUCCAAGCCAAUCCGAGAUGCAAGGAGGAAAACCAAAGGAAGAAAUCUAGCAACUAGAAUUUUUGCAUGGCUGUGCAAAAUUUCGCACACCAUGCAAAACCACUUGAGGCAACCAAAGGAUUUUGCACACCAUGCCAAAUUUCACAUGGUAUGCGAAAUCUUCCUAUGCACCGACUCCGUUAGAUUUUUAUCUUCAGAUAUUUUGUGUAAUUUCCUAGUUUCUCCUUGUAACCAACCUAGAUAUUUUAUUUUAUAUCUUUUUAUAUAUCUUUUAGGUAGCUGAUAUAUAAGGAGGGAGACAAAGGGAUGAGGGAUUAUGUAUGUUUUCAUAAAACACUUGUAAAAUUCCUGUAGUAAGAAAUAUACAGAGCUUUUGCUCUACCUUUCCUUCUCAUUUUGUUUUCAUUUUUUCUUUCUAGCCAAACAACAUCUAAGGAUGAUUUCUCAGGGGAUGAGUGGAUAGGUCUUACGUUUCUUGGAGUGAUGGAAGUUAGGUGAAGGACCUGAAUGCAAAUGUGGGAGUUGUCCUUGCUUUAAAUGACAGUAGUUGUUAGCCAUCAAUGGUUUUUAUUUCAAGGUUUAACUUUAAAUCCCUUAAAAUCCCCUUGAAUGGCCAAUACUUAGUAAGCUUUUCGGAUUCUAUAGAUGCUUAUUACUAGAUCCAUGGAUGUCUAUUAGUUAUCAUUUACGAGCCAUUGGAAGGUGGUUCAAGGUGAAAGUCUUUAGUGUUUGAAGCCAUUAAUGGGAAGCAAUUACCAUUUCUCAUGAAACCUUUGGAUCAAAUCUUAAUUGCUAAAUAUAAAACCGGUUCGGGAGAUAACCAUCCUUUAUGUAAUUAUCCCCAACGCGAUGAGAAGAUCCGGAAUCUCUCCCUUUGCCUAAGGAACCCAAUCCUAGUGACCUACAGCUCCAAGAAACCUUUUCUUUGUAGUUAAUUUCACCUAUUGUUUUUUCUUAACUUAAAAUCAAUCUUUGCAACCACAAUUCCAUUUUCUUUAAAAGCUAACUUUCAUAAGAAAAAACAUCAUUUUAUUUCCUUCAUUUAAGUCAGUUGUACGAUGAAAACCCAUCCAUGUGGACGAUCCUAGAGCCACUAUACUAUGUUAGCUAUGCUACCCUAGUGUAAGGUGAUUUAGGUUUUAUAAAUUUUAUUGAUAACACCCGUCUGAGCCAGAAUCAAAUGGCAUGACUGCAAUGGGGACGAAUCACCAGUCUUGAUGCUAAUGUUACUCAUCUUCACCAUGGACCUUCCAAACUCCACGUUGAGUUCAAUGCCUAUAAGCCUCUGAUGCCUAGGAAGCGUUGCGCGUAGUUCCUGGUGGAGACAUCUUCCAACAACUUCUGAUCCAAUUGCAGGAUUCCUCGCCCACUCUUCAGGUUUUUAAAGAAAGAGGCGUCGAAGGUGUUGGGGCUACUAGUGUCUAGUGCAACACGUCGACUUGCAUCACCAUUUUGAGGGCAAAGUGCUUGUAGUUGAGGAAUGAAGGCAGGGUCAAUGGAGGGGUCAACACCAUUUCCAGUUGUAGUGUUGAAGUUAUAGAGUCUGUCCUUGAAGAAUUGGCAUGCUGAAGUUCCAAUAGCGUGACCGUUUGUAAUGUAUUCACAUAUGUGUAUCGAGUUAAUUUAGGUAUAUAGACUCUGGUGAAGUAGAGCUAAGAAAUUAAGCUAAGUUGAAUAAUUAUGAGUUUGAUACAAAGGUUCUUACCAACAAGAGAAACAAGAUCUUGAUCAUUGAGACCUUGUCAGUGAACCUCAGCUUUUGGAGUUCAAUGGAGUCACGGGAGGCUGGCAAAUUGGCAGUCUCAAAUGCUAAUGAAACACAAUCGUCUCUCCGCCUUGUGGGCACCUUCCAGCUUGCUCCUUUGGUCUAUGUAAAACAUUGGAGCAGCAUAAGUAAUAAGAAGGCAUACAUAAGGCAUUGAAUAUUGUAAUAUGAGGAGAUCUGCCAUCAAUCAUGUAUAUAUGCAUACUAGAAGGAUAGCAUCACAGGCAGCAAGUGUCAUGCCCCAAAACCUACUCCAAGGGCAUGAUGGGCAUUUCAUAGUUCAAGCCCACAGGCUCAAAGGGCACAAACAUUCAUAUUGUAACUGGAAAUUUACCAAUUACCAAAUUCAUGUUCAGAGUAGUAGGACAAAAUUCUAAAAUCUCCAAGUAUCAACUUUAAAAAAAACUAACACAUCGACCAAAGUGUUAUUGUCCAAAUAACUCUAAAUUCAAGUGAUUUAAACGGGAAUUAAAUUUUAACAUCUAAACAAUGUCCAAAAUAAAGUUUAAACCAAAAUCUUAACAAAGAAAAAUUCCCCAGCCUAGCCAUCACUCCUUGCCUAAAUUGAGAGUACUUGAAAAAUUAUCAACGAAGGGACAUGAGUUUAAAGCUCAAUAAGGAACAUCAAUGUAGUUUCAUGGAUCAAACAUUUUCAAUCAUGCUUGCAAAUAGGAAAUAUAACAUAUACGUAUUUUCAUAAAAACUUUUGAGUUCAAAAUACUAAUACAUUCAAACUUUUCAACAAAACUUUCUCAUAUCCAUUUCAAAACAAUUUCUCAUCAAAACCAAAUCAAAUACAUUCAAAAUAUCUUUACUCUGGUUAUCAUAUGACAAAUGGUGCCCAAUUAGGUGGGACUUCACAAUUGAGUAACCAGUUUCAAACUUGUUCCAUUUAAGGUGAACAAAACCAAAUGUCAACAAUUAUAUAACCCGUUGACUAGGGCCAUAUAAUAUCAACUAUUAUAACCUGUUGAUUAGGGUCGAAUAUGUCAACAAUUAUAACCCGUUGACUAGGGCCAUAGAAAUGUCAACAACUAUAGCCCAUUUACUAGGGUCAUAGAAACCAGAGUCAAACACUUAAUUUCACUAAUUCAAACUUGCAAAACAAAAUAUCAUAUCUUCAAAAAUUUUCAAUUUUCAUAAACAAAUAAAAUUCUAAAAUAUAUUUUCCACACAAAACACAUAUUUGAUCCAUGCGAAAAGAUAAAAAUAAUAUUUUUACACAUUUCAAAAUAUAAUAUAAAAAGUAAAUUAUUUUAUUUUAUAAAAGUUCGCAUUAAUUUCCCUUACCUUGAAGAAGCACUCAAAAUUUUGAAGUAUUUAAUUCUGAAAAAUUUCCUUCUCACCUAACAUAAUAUCAUACACAAUAUUGAUUAUUGAUUAUUUAUUUAAAUACAUAAAUUUGAAAAUCCUAAAAAUAUUUCAUUUAGUAUUAGGGAUCCUAAUUAAUUUCUCAUGCUAAUAUUAUUACUACCCAAUAUUAUUUUUUAACUUACUAAACAAUAAUAAAUUAAUUUAGUGAGUUUCCAAAUUAUUGUAAAAUUUAUUUUCUUUCCUAAUCUUACCCUCGCUAUUUUUUCUUUAUAUACUUAAAUUAAAUUAAAACCUAUAAAGGAAACUAUUAUUAUUAUUAAUAUUUCAUUUGUUAGCUUAAAACUAAAUAUUAUAAUUUUUAUUAAUUUUCAAAUUCAAUACAUAACCAACCCAUUACCCCCCUAUCUUCAUUACAAGCACAAAGCCCUAAGAAUAAAACAGUAAACCUUAUGUUUCUUUUUAUUAUUUUUUAUUAUAAUAAUAUAUUUACAUAAACAAUCAUUUCCAAUGCCUAAGUCAACACCUUGGCAACACGCGCAUACUCCCUUUUUUGUCUUUUUUUUAAUCCCACGACAUUGUAAAGUGCCACCUCCACGCCUCUCAUUAUAUUUAUUUUUUUAUUUUUUAUUUUUCACACAGUAUAUACAUCUACACGUGUUUUUUUUUUAAAUCUAAAGCCUACACAAACGAUUUAUUUAUUUAUUUUCUAAAUCUAAAAUUUCUUUUCUUCCAUUGAUUUUGUUUUUUAUUUAAUUGAAAUUUUCCUAUUUUUAUCACAAAUUAAUCCACAUUCUAAAUUUACAGUCUUUUGAUUUAAAAAUUAAUUUAACAAACCCUAAUCUAGAUUGAGAUCUUCCAAAGAAUAUCUAAAGUUUUUAAAACUAAUUAACGAACAUAAAAUAUUAAUUUAAAGAUUAAAAUCUUACUUGAAAAAUUGAACUUCAACCCUAAGCCUCCAAAUCUUCAACCCUAUGCUCCUGAUCUUUCUGAUUUCUAUGUAAAAGGGUUUUCUGAAUAGAGAAGAUAGGUAAAAGCUAAUUUAUAUCUAGGAAUUUUAAAUACAAAAAGACCUUUUUAUCCUUAUUUAAUUACUUUAAUUAAUUAAUAAUUUUUCAAUUACGAUUUUAUCCCUAAAUUGGGUUUGGGGCAUUACAGCAAGAGCAAGAAUAUCAGCGCAUGAGACCAUUCCAGGACAGGCGGCUUCCAGCCGGGUCAUGGCAUCAUCAAUUAUUUCAUAUCCUCUCAACAGGCUGUUGGGUCCGGCAGUUCUUUCAAAGGAAAAGUAUGCAGUAUUUUAAUUAUACUUUUUACCCAUUCCUUCUCUUUUAUGUAUUAAUCUUUAUCUUUUGACAAAAAAUAUAUAUAAACCAACAUUAGAUGAAUAAAAUAAUUAAAUCAGAAUGCAUGAUGGAAAGUUAUAAGUUCAUGUUCUUUCAUUGACGGAAAGUCAAAUGUUGAAAUUCUCAAAUCGGCUUUGAAGUAGCAUUUGUUAUAAAUAACGUUUAAUUAAUUUAUUUAAAAAUUUUGAAUUCAUUUUUUAAUUGUUAAUUGUUAUGAAUAAUCUUUAAUUAUAUAAAAGAUAGAAAGACUUUUAAAAAUAAGAGAUUUGAUGUUAAAAAUUAAUAUUUUAAAAGAUAAGGAGAUUUCAAGUAUUUGAUGGUUUAGGGAACUAGUGAAUUGACAAAAAAAAAAGUUAUAAAAAGUUACUUAAUAUUAUAUUAUGAAGUCCUAUUUAUUAAUUAUAUUAUUUUAUAUAUAUAUAUAUAUAUAUAUAUAUAUAUAUAUAUAUAUAUAUAUAUAUAUAUGUAUGUAUUUUACCAAUUAUUAUUUUAUAUUUCCUUGAUUUUUAAAGGAUUUUUAAAAAUAUUAUUAUCUUAUACAUUUAACUAGGUUAUUAAGUUAGCACACUAAUUCAAGUCUGGACCAAAAGAUUUUAUUAUUUAAGUUUAUUAAUUUAUUAAACAUUCAUUUAUUGAGGUUUUACUAUGUAUAGAAAAACUCGUUUAAACAAACACAGAAAUGUUAGAUUACGUGGAGACAUGAGUUUUAUAAAAUAUUAUACUAUCCAUAUAUUAAAUUAUUUGGGUCUUUUCAUUUAUUUAUGAUAAACUCAAUAGAAGAAGUUAUCAACAAUCCAAUCAGCAGGAUGUCCUUCAUUCGCAUGGUACUUGGAAGUACACUAAUGAAGAUAACACCAAGCAGAUGAACUUCUAUCGACUUUAAUCUAGAUCCCAGCUACAUGUGGGUAUGGCAAACCCAUCCACCAACUCUAUUUGAUUAUUUGGAAGUGAUGGAUGAGAAGUUGAACUAACAACACAAAGCUCUUUCCAAUCCCAACAACUCAGCUCAGGUCCCCAUAAUCUCCCAAACGCUGCAUCACAUAAGCAGUAUCCCUCAUCUAUAAAGCCCCAAAGCCAACCCUUGUAUGCAAACCAUUCUCAGAAGAAACUUCUACCCUCAUUCAAAACUCUCUAGUCUUUUUUAGCUAUUCAGAAAUGGCUCGUCACCAUGAACCAUCCAUUCUGUUGCCUCUGCUGCUCAUCACUCUGUUCCUAAUGAGUGGCAAAGAAGUUCUUGCAUCUCGUCACCUUCUCGAAACCACACUGCCUACGGUUCCGGAGCUUCCUAAGGUAGAAUUGCCACCUCUUCCUACACUCCCUACUUUGCCUAAAUUUGAACUGCCACCUCUUCCCAAGGUUGAGCUUCCACCUCUGCCUCAUGUCCCAACUCUACAAGAGCCCCAGCUGCCGACUUUGCCCAAGCCUGAAUUGCCAACCGUUCCACAUGUCCCAGCUUUGGAGAAGCCUGAACUGCCUAAGCCCACACUGCCUACCAUCCCAACCCUUCCAAAGGACAUACCCUUCCCUUCUCUUUCCCCACCCCACUCAACCACUAGCCCUUGAGCUUUUCCAGUGCUGAGUUUCAUAUCAUUAUCGCAGUCUUACUAGUUUUUCGGAUGGACUAGAGAUUAAUAUGGGAAGGAAUCCUUAAAAGCCAGGGUUGCACCCUGGCUCAUAUGUAUGUGGACUCUGUUUUCUUUUAUAGUUUUCUGUUGGCAUGUACUGAUUUGUGAUUGUGGUUGAUUUAUGAGGGGGCGUCUGAUGUGUGGAACUGGGUUCUGUUUGAAGUUACUUGUAUACUCUCAUGGUUGUUAAUUAUUUAUGGUUCAGCUCUUGAUUAGAUGCUCAUAAUAUCCAGAACAAAAUUGAUCAAUUAAUGGAGCGGUUUGCAACAGCCCAGGGUGUGUUUGGGCAUCCCCAUCACCCAAUUGUUGUCAUGAAAGGGAGGCACAAACCAUUAAAUGAUAAUGAAGCCCUGAUGACUAUCUUGUGAGAAUAAUAGUUUAAUAAUAAUAACAAGAAUUAUCACAAUUAUUUCAUUUCAAAACCAGCAACUUAUUUAUAGGGUGCAACCACUGUUUUAUUUGUUGUGGUCUCCCAUUACUAUGUCUACAUUCACACUUCCACUGGCAUAAUAAAUGGUAUAAAAGUUUCCUCAUACUCAGUAAUUUCAAACUAGCGGGUAAGCAUAUUUAGCUCACAUCUCAAAGGACGUGAGUGAAAAUUGCAUGUACUUGAUAUGGAGAUUGCUACAUCUCUUUCCUUCGAGACUUGGUUCAAGUUUAAGGUUAGUAGUGUUUCACUCAUAAUUGUUUUUUAAAAAUUUAUAUUUUGCAAUUUUUUUGUAUGUAAAUGUUCUUAAUAAUUUGCAAUGCUUUAGGAUUUUAAUAUAAAUUAAUUAAGAUUAAUGAAUAAAACAACCAAAUCUAUUCACAACCAAUGCCAAUCUUUUUGCUAAUGAUUGAUGUAAUCAUACUUCAAUUUAAAAUUUGUGUCACUAUAACCAUUAACACUUAUAAGGUAGGCAUAUAUGGGAUCUAUAUUUUUUAUUCUAAUUUUUUAGUAGAAUCAAAUAUUUGAUAAAGUCCUCGUAUGAAUUCAAGCAUCCUAUAAACUAUCAUAUAUAACUUCUCUUCAUAGACAUGUCUAUUUCACCAAACCUCUCUCUGAGACGGUGCCUAGAUUGUUACUCCUUUCAUGCAGGUUGGAACUAACAUGACAAGGAAUUUUGCUACCUUAGGAUCGUUAUAGUUAUGACCGCUGUUCACUGGGGCUUUGGUAGCCAGCUCCCUUGUCAUCAAGUCACCAACUUCCUUGACCUUUUAGCAUUAGGUAGGUGUCAACCCCCAUACAUGGUCUUACAACUUUGUCAAUACUUAUGUUUUUGGUAAACAGUUGCCCAAGCCUAGUCACUACGUCCCCUUUAUGGGGAGGUACCCCUUCUCCCAAAGUUAGAUUUGAAAAUUGAAGCUUAUCAUUCAUAUUGUAUUAAUUUCCAACAUUAUUAUCAAACUCAUAAUCAAUCCCUGAAAAUCGAAACUUAUUAUUCAUAUUGUAUUAAUUUCCAACAUUCUUGUCAAGCUCAUAAUCAAUCCCUAAAAAUCAAAACUUAUUAUUCAUAUUGUAUUAAUUUCAAACAUUUUUAUCAAGCUCAUAAUCAAUCCCUUUCACAAAUUACAAAAAUUGGUCUCUUUACUUGGAGGAUGACCUUUUAAGAAUGUCCAAUAAAAGAAGUAAAUUAUAAUUAUCAAGCUUAAUUACAAUAAUCUUGAUACUUAUCAUUUUUGAGUUUUUAGAAAAAUAAUUGUAAUACAUAUGUAAUUAUUUAUUAUUCAUUUAGAUUCUAGAUUGAUACAAUUAUUUAUAUAAAUGAUUUUUAAGAAUCAAAAUCUUUCUCUUCUUUUCUUGUUAAACAAAUUUUUAUUAUUAUUUACAAUGAAGAAUCAGGGUAUUUUAUGAUAUUAGCAAAUAAAAAAACUAUAUGAUUGCCACAUUCAUACAUACAUACAUAUAUGUGUAUCAAUUAGUUUACUACAAAAAAAAUUAAGUCUUACCGAUCCACUUAGAUUUACUUUUGGGACGGAUUUAAACUAUUGUAAAUUUUUAACACAUCUACUCUAUCACAAAUUGAAUUAUCUGUUACUUAUAUAUAUUUAUUUAUUGAUGAUAAUUACAAUACCAAAUACCUGUCGACAAAAAUAUUAUUGUAAUGGAUUUAAACCAUUACAAAUGUUCAACUAAUAUAAUCUAUCACAAAAGAAAUUUACUUGUAAAAAAAUAAAAUAAAAAGUGAACUUUUAUAAACACUUUUUUCAAUGAAAAAUACUAUUCACUAAAACAGUGUUAUUAUAGUGGAUAAUAAUACGACACAUAAAUUAUUCUAAAAGUAAUUGUUGUUUUAUGAAUAUACAAUAUUUUUACCAUAGUUUAUGAUAAAUAUGAUCUAGCUAGUGAUAAGACAAUUUGAUGAUUAUUUUUUUGGUUUCAUACAAUAUUUAUAAAGAAUAUAUAUAUAUAUAUUUUUUUUAAUGACAAUAGUUUUAGCAUUUUAAUAUUUUUAAUAUUUUUGUAACUAUUUUUUUUUUUUUGGUUUAGUGGAAAUAUUUUCAAAUUUUAAAUAAUUUCUUGUUAAAGGAUAUAUAUAUAUGAUGAUGAAUUUUUAUGGAUGUAUUGAGAAAUAUUGGUGGAUUUUCUGAUAUAAAAUAUAAGUAAGAUAAAAAUUGGAGAAGCUUGAACUGCCAGAAUUGCCUCCUGUGUCCCAUCUCCCUGACCUGCCUAAGCCCACACUACCUACCAUCCCAACCCUUCCAAAGGACAUACCCUUCUCUUCUCUUUCCCCACCCCACUCAACCACUAGCCUUUGAGCUUUUCCAGUGCUUAGUUUCAUAUCAUCAUC
RNAcentral lists this long non-coding RNA (64319 nucleotides) under Vitis vinifera (wine grape). RNAcentral describes it as "long non-coding RNA (VVIN_LNC003841)". Lineage: Eukaryota; Viridiplantae; Streptophyta; Magnoliopsida; Vitales; Vitaceae. The record is from RNAcentral.